This 82165-nucleotide long non-coding RNA is filed under the name Malus domestica (apple). The record is from RNAcentral. Lineage: Eukaryota; Viridiplantae; Streptophyta; Magnoliopsida; Rosales; Rosaceae.
AAAUGAAAUAGUACCUCUGCCUAGGUUUCUUUUUUGGACAAUCAAGGUAAAUUUCAUUGAAAGAGAAAGCUACUACAAGGUAAGGACAAAUCCAAAAGAGAGUCCAAAAAUAGCCAAGCAAAAACCCAACUCCAUAAAUGAAAACUACAAUGAGAAGGGCCCAAAAUGAGCAGCCCAUAGCAGCGAACAAAUAAAAAAACCUAGACAUGAAAAUGUAAAGUAGCCACCUCCACCAAAACAGCCACACCACCACUACAGAUCCAUCAGCACCACCCAGAAGAAGAGCUAAAGAAACAAAUGGAUGAAUGGAAAAUGGGGGUAGGCAAGCUACUCGCGUUGAGAGCGCUCCCAUAGUUCGACCAAAUAGUGCAAAAUGCACUUUAAAUGCUAUGAACCACCAAAGUGCUCCUCUAAAGGAGAUCCUAGGAGGAGACACCCAAUGAAACGAGCAGCAAGGGUAUAUGGUAGAAGAUUCACGGUGAUGAGUGAUGUUUGGAGAUGAACAAGGCAAAGAAAACAUAUCUGAGAUAAACUUAAGAAACACUAAGACCAAGUUUAGAUCAACUUGAGACAUAAAAUGCUUAGAAAUGAAAUAAGUGAAAGCUAAAUGCAUAAAAAAAAUCUAAAACUCCAACCAUGGUGAUUUGGAGGAGGGGAAAAAGGGGUGGAGUCGGAGGAACAUGGGAGGAUGGUGAAAUCGGGAGGAAAUAGAGGAAGAGAUGGGAGAAAGCGAGGAAAACAAAUGGUGGAAAUAAGGGAAGAGGAAGGAUGGCGAAAAUCAGGGAGAUAGGGAUAAAGCAGAGGGUGGAAGAAAGAGGAAGAGGGAGGAGGGCGAGGAAGGAAGGGCACUGAGCUGUCGUCAACCCCAAGCAAGAGCAAGAGGCCGACGACAGAAAAAGUUUCAGGAAUUUAGGGAGAGAAAGUGGGCAUGGAGUCAUAGGCUGGAAAAGUAGGAUGCUAAGUCUCUUCUGCCUAGUUUGUUGAUCAUCAUUUCCAUCGCAAUUCUCAAAAAAGUCAAACAAGCAUAUUCUACAAGAUUCAUACGCUGGCACCUAACAAGAAAAAGCAUACACAAUUCGGCCCUUCCAUUAUUGAAGCAUCCAUUCACUAUCUUGAUCAAUUACAAAAUCUUUGUGGUGUCAUAACUUCACCUUAUCCUUAAAAAUCUUCACUAAAUCUUGGUCAAAUGCCAAAGGCUGUAAACCAGCCCUCAUAUAUCGAACUUGCCAUUGCUUAUACGUCUCAGGCCUCUCAUCCUUCUCUACACCCUCACAUGUUAUUGCAUUCAUAGUUUCCCUUGUUGGAUUUGACAUUAAAUCAACAUGCCUAAACUAAAAAGGAUUAGGAUAUCUUAGACGCAAGAUAAUUAGAUUUGUGUUUCCUAGUUGGUUUGGGAUUUGGUUUAAGUAUAGGAUUUGGUUUCCUAUAUUCUAGGUACUUUAUGUAAACCGAGGACAUCUAUUAGUAUAAAUAGAUGGAUGUGGGAUAGAGUUUUGUGUGUGAGAGUUUUUUAGAGGCAUAAGUUUGUAUACUUGAGAACACUUUGUGUUUGUGAGUUCUCUUGUAUUUGUUGGUAAUCAAUAAAGCUUCUAUUGUUAGAGAGGUACUCCUAUAUUAGAGGAACCCUGAAUUCGUUGUGUUUUGUUUAUUGCUUGAUUGGUUUUUGAUUUAGUUUAUAACAAGUGGUAUCAAAAGCUUAGGUUUUUACGUGGGUUGUGACUAUCAAGCAAUGACGAAGAUUGGUGAUUCCACCAGUAGUGAUGAUGUUGAAGAAAAGUUUGGCACUAGUGGAACCAAGACGAUGGUUCAGAGAGUGUUAGGUUUGAAAUUGAGAAAUUUGAUGGAACAAACAACUUUGCUAUGUGGCAGUGUGAGGUUCGAGAUGUCUUGAUAUAACAAGGUUUGGUUGUUGUGUUAGGAGACAUGUAGUUUUCGAUGAAAAAAGAAGAAUGGGAAAGAUUGAAUGCUCGUGCAUGUUCUACAAUUUGGCUAUGCUUGGGAAAACAAUAGAAGUAUGGUGUAAUGAACAUAACUUUUGCGAAAGAAUUGUGGGCAGCAUUGGAGACAAAAUAUAUAAAGAAGAGUGCAGAGAAUCGAUUGCAUCUCAAGAGCAAGUUGUACAGGUUCCAGUAUAAAGAGGGCACGAAGAUGAUUGGCCAUCUAGAAGAGUUUAACAAGCUUCUAGCUGAACUGGAAAUCUUGAAGAGAUAUCAAGAUUGCAUGGCCUGCAUGGUAUAUCCAGUGCCAGUAAUUGAGGCUGAAAUUCCCACUAAUUUUGAAGAAGCAGUAAAUAGUGAAGAAGAGAGUAAAUGACAUGACGCAAUGAACGAUCAAAUGUUCUCCUUUCACAAGAAUAAGACUUAGGAAAUGGUGGAGCUGCCUAGAGGAAGGAAAACAAUUGGCUACAAAUGGGUUUAUGCAAAGGAGGAUGGAGUGGAUGACAAGAGCUUGGUAAGAUUUGAAGCUACGCUAGUGGCUAAAGGAUAUGCUCAGAAUGAGGGAAUAGAUUACAAUAAGAUUUUUUUUCUCCUAUGGUUAAGCACUCAUCCAUUUGAAUAUUGCUUGCCCUAGUUGCACAAUUCAACCUUGAAUUGGUACAACUAGAUGUGAAGACUGCAUUCCUUCAUGGUAAUUUAGAUGAAGAGAUUUAUAUGAGACAACCCGAUGGGUAUCUAGUGAAGGGCAAAGAAAGAUUGGUUUGUAAGCUUAGAAAUCUCUUUAUGGUUUGAAGCAAUCGCCCAUGCAGUGGUAUUUAAGAUUUGACAAGUUUAUGAAAGGUCAAGACUAUACAAGAAGUCACUAUGAUCACUCUGUUUAUCACAAGAAGUUGAAAGAUGGUUUGUUCAUGUACUUGUUAAUCUAUGUGGACGACAUGCUUAUAGCCUCAAGUAAUAUUUCAAAGAUAGAAAAGUUAAAGGAGCAAAUGAGAAAGGAGCUUGAAAUGAAGGAUCUCGGUGAAGCCAAGAAAAUAUUGGGACUGAAGAUCACAAGGGAUAGACAAAUUUGUCUCAGAAGCAAUAUCUUGAGAAGUUGUUACAAAAGUUUGGAGUAACAAAAAACACUAAGCCUGUAGGAACUUCAUUAGGUGCUCACUUCAAGUUGAGUAGUCAACAAUGUCCCAAAACCGAUGAAGAAAAGAUGAAGAUGGAUGUUAUUCCAUAUGCUAAUUUGGUUGGAGGAUUAAUGUAUGCUAUGGUGUGUACUCGUCCUGAUAUAGCAUCCGCAACUGGAAUUGUUAGUAGAUUCAUGCAUAAUCCUGUAAGAGAGCAUUGGAAUGAUGCUAAGUGGAUACUAAGGUAUUUACAUGGAAUGAGGGACAAAGUUAUUUGUUUUGAAAGAUGUGAUGAAGGAAUUGAUAAGUUCUCAAUUUGAUAUGUGGACUCAGACUUUGCUGGAGACUUAGACAAGAGAAGAUCGACGAUUGGGUAUGUGUUUACUAUGACAAAUGGUCAUAUAUGCUGGAGAACAAUUUACAACCAACGGUGGCACUAUCAACCACAUAAGCAGAAUACAUGGCGAUCGCUAAAGCACAUUGAUGUACAUCAUGCUAGGACUAAGCACAUUGAUGUACGAUAUCAUUUUGUAAGAGAAGUGUAGCUGAAGGUGAGAUUCGUCUAAAAAAGGAUGCUACAAAAGAUAAUCCAGCUGAUAUGUUGACAAAGAUGGUUAAUGCAACUAAGUUCGAGAACUGCUUGGAUUUGGUGCAGUUGAAGCAAGUUUGAUCUUGCGAUAUGGUGGAGCAACAAAAGUUGUUUGAUGCCACGUUAUGGAUUUCAUGCCAAGGUGGAGAUUGUUGGAUUUGGCAUUAAAUCAACAUGCCUAAACUAAAAAGGAUUAGGAUAUCUUGGACGCAAGAUAUUUGGAUUUGUGUUUCCUAGUUGGUUUGGGAUUUGGUUUUAGUAUAGGAUUUGGUUUCCUAUAUUCUAGGAACAUUGUGUAAACCUAGGACAUCUAUUAGUAUAAAUAGAUGGACGUGGGAUAAAGUUUUGUGUGUGAGAGUUUUUGAGAGGCAUAAGUUUGUAUACUUGAGAACACUUUGUGUUUGUGAGUUCUCUAGUAUUUGUUGGUAAUCAAUAAAGCUUCCGUUGUUAGAGAGGUACUCCUAUAUUGGAGGAACUCUGAAUUCGUUAUGUUUUGUUUAUUGCUUGAUUGGUUUUUGGUUUAGUAUAUAACAUCCCUUCCAUAGAACUCACUCUCAAACUUCAACCUCUCUUCAUUGUCACGGGGUAUAUUAAUAUCAAAUGCAUCAUACAAGGAAGAGUAGUGGAAAAGAGCUUGCUGAAAUUUAGUAAAUUAUUUACCCUUGUUUUACAUAACUCACAUGGCGGUCAUCUGAUUGCAGAUACCAAUAUGUUGCAUGGAAUUUUGAGUGUCCUACUUCCCACAUUUUUCUAGGUUCAGUUGUAUGUCUAUGGAGAAGGCAUUGGCUCACAGUCCAUUGAUUUCAUGCGGCUUGUUCAUCAUGAUAUAGAUUGUUGAGAAUGAGUCCCAUACUUAUGAGAAAAGAGAUCUUGCAUGGGUUUAUAAGAGGUUGGGAACCUUAACUUUCUUUAUGGUAUUAGAGCACCUUGUCUCGCGUGUGAAACCAAAUGGCCAGCACGCUCCACGUCACCCCGUUGUGUUGUCCCAUGUGUGAAACCAAACGGCCACGCAUGAUCCACGUCACCUCAUUGUGUUGCCCACGUGUUAAGCUUGAAAUUCACUACACAUGAGGGGGCGUGUUGAGAAUGAGUUCCACAUUGAUGGAAUAAGAGACCUUGCAUGGGCUUAUAAGAGGCUAGACUACUCCCUAUGUUGCCAAUUGAUUUUAUGGUGAAACUUCAAUUUCUUUAUAUAUCAAGUUCAUCAAGUUUUUGUAAACUUAUCAAAAACAUAAGUCAACAGAUUAAGCUCAUAAAUCACAAAUUAUACAACUUACAAGUAUCAAAAUUGCAAUUGGAUAACACAAGAACCAAAAAACAAGGUUGGAAACUUUUUUGGGAUGGCGUAAAUGCAUGCUAAGAGAUAAGGAGGAAGACAAGUUAAAAAAUAAUGGACAUGCAUGGCUCAAGUGGUGAGAAUUCUUUGUGCUUUAAUUUGAAAAGAAUGGGCUUUUUAUUUUACCAUUUUUUUUAAAAAACAUUUGAAAGGGAGAAAACUUAGUUCAUGUCAAAGAAGAUUAGACGAGCUAGACUAGACACUAAGAUCCAGAUUUUUCCUGUCAAAACAACUUACACCUUUUUCUCGUUAAGAGCAAUUGGAAGGAGCUACGCCCCCGAUAGAACGCCCUCCAGUCCCUCUAAGAACACGAGCUAAGAAAACUCUGUUGAUGCACAAAAUUCGGAAGAUCUUGGACCAACGUAAAUCCGGCCGUGAAUCACACAAACGCACAAGAACACAAAGACGUAUCGUGGUUCACCCCCAAUAUUUGGGCUACGUCCAUACUGAUGUUGAUUAUGUAUGUAUGUAUGGAUUACAAUAGAUCGGCAAUGGAGCUCUUUAUGGAUGCAGCUCUUGCCCUUUUGCUCUUUGUUUGGCUGAUAGGGUAUUGCCCUCUGUUUGGAUGUGUGAGGAUUGAGUAUGAGGCUCUCUCAGUGAAGGUGAGACUGAAUGUGUGUUCAUGAGGGUGAGGGGGAGUCCCUUUUAUAGAAUAAGGGCUCCCUCCCCUUUUACAUUUGUCAUGGGCUUAGGGAUGAGGCCCAAAGACGAGGCCCAAUAUAUGGUACCAACAUGAGUCCCUCAAGUAUUCAGUCAAAAGAGUCUUUUGGCUGGAGACUUCAAAUCUAAUCCAUGUACGGGCCGAAGUGACUAGAUGUCUUGAACCAAUACUCAACACAAGAUAAUGCUUAACAUAAAGCAAUACUCGGCUAGAGGUAUCACACGUUAUGAGACUGUUCUCGGCUGAAGGUGAUGCUCGUUGAGAGGCUGCUCGGCUAGAGGCUAUGCUCGUGGUGAGGCGGUUGCUCGGCUGGAGGCGAUGCUCGUUGCGAGGCUGCUCGGCUAGAGGAUAUACUCACUCCGAGACGGCUCGGCUCGUGGUAUUCCUCAUUGCAAGUAUGUACCUUAUGUCAGCGUGCACUCAGUAUGAGUUGAUUCUUGACAUGACUCCGGUCUGUUUGUCGGGUUCGCAUAUUAGGUUCUUUUAAUCAGCAACAAUGUUGAUCAGUGGAUCUAGUUGCUCAAUAAUUCCUGACAAUAAAUGACAAUAUAAGUAUGACUGUAUAAUGAAUAGAUCAAAUUGACAAAGUUUGUUAAGGCAAAAUAUUGUACUGGCAAAAUAUUGCAGGUGAGCUGCGACUACGCCGGCGGAGUCACCUCCGACCAACUUGAUCUUCAUGCUAAACCAUCCAAAUCUGUACUUUUGUUUCGUUUGAAAUCCAUAACAUGUGUCUUUGUUGAGGGAAAGAUACCAGAUCUGCUUAUCUUCUGAAGUUGUAAAAUGGUCGUCAGACCACGAAAUUAUCCUUGAAAGAACUUUUUGGGGCUGCCUCUGAUGAAGAACAACAAAGAGCAGCCAUGGUAUUAUGGGUCUUUGGAUAUGGUUCACUUGUAUGGAACCCAAGAUUCGAGUACGACGAGAAAGUGAUAGGUUACAUCAAGGACUACACGCGUGUGUUUGAUCUUGCAUGCAUUGAUCAUGGAGGUACACUUGAGCACCCUGAUGCGAAAAUUAACUUAACACACAAAUUUAACCCUCUUUUGACAACUGUAGUAUAAGUAUAAGUAGGGAUCGUUCUGGACCGGGGAUUAGGAGGGCUUGCUAAUAACCUCUAAACUGACUCAAAAACAUAAAACUAAACUUAAAAAAUACUUAACAAGACUCACAAGACUCAAAGCAAACUUAAAAUACUCAAAACAUCUUAAAACAACUAAAUAAACUUAAACUAGACACUAGGAAUGACCUUGGGCGAAAAUUGACUUUUACUUGAAUCAAAACAUUUAAAAACACAAAUUAAAACAGAUUCUAACUAAUUAGACACACUAAAGUAAAGGGGGAUUGAGUUUUGGAUAAAGUUGAAACAAACAAACAAGUAUGAAAAACUAGACAGAUUGUAAAACAAAUUUGAGAAAUAAGAUGAUGGAUGGGAUAGCUAGAGGCUUUUUCUCCACACAUGACAUGUAUGCAAAUACUUAAUUUCCAGUUACUACUUCAUUGAAUUAUGAACGACAAUGCUCCAAAUUAACCGUGACAUCACUAGUUAACCCUCAGAUUUUCCUUGUUUUAUUGGAUUGGAUUACAUCAUUCGACAACCCAAAACAUUCUUCAAAAGUUCUCUACAUGACAUCAUAAUAGAGAUACAAUCAAAGAUCAUUACGUUUAAUGAAAAUCAUAAGCAUUGACAAAGCAUUUGCAACUAUGACAUCAUGUCACUCAUGCUAGGAAUUAAACUUAACGCGAUCGUUUAUAAGCGACCUCCACUACUUAUGAAUAUAAGUUUGUAACGAUUAUGUGAAACUUUCUUAUAUUCUAGCAUCGGAUUUAUGCAUGCCAAUUAAGUGUCGACCCUUAAUUAACAAAUACAAAUAAGUUAUCAAUCAAAUAGUUAAGCCAAUUGCAUUCACGAUUCAAUAGUUCAUAACUGGAAUUUAUCAAAUUAUAUUGCACACAUAAUCAUGGCUUUGAAAUCACCCCUAGCCAAAAGGGGUUUAGCCACUCAUAUUUACAACAAAACGAAAGGAAAUGAAUUUAAACAUUAGAAACAAAAGAAAGAAAACACCUAAACGCUCUAACGAUCCAAGUUGGACAACAAGCAUGUCCAAGCACUUUCCUUCCCUUCCUUUGCUACGGCACAAGAUGUUGGUGAGUGUUUGAAGGUUUGUUUGUAUGGAGGAAUGGAUGUGAAGAUGAAUGGAUGUGUUUGGAUGAAGGUUGUGUUGAAAUGGGAGUGAAUGAUCUAACAAACUAUGAACUCAAUUUAUGUUACACACAUUUCCUUUUAUAGAGGAAGUGCAAGGCAAUGGAGGGGGACAUGGAGUGGUGUUGAAAUGAUUCAAAGGUGAAAGUGAAAUAAUGAUGCAAAGCAUGGGUAAAAUGGAGUGGUGUUGAAAUGAUUCAAAGGUGAAAGUGAAGUAAUGAUGCAAAGCAUGGGUAAAAUGGAGUGGUGUUGAAAUGAUUCAAGGGUGAAAGUGAAGUAAUGAUGCAAAGCAUGGGUAAAAUGGAGUGGUGUUGAAAUGAUUCAAAGUAAUGAUGCAGGAAAUUUGAAAUGAUGGAGGGAACAAGGAAUUGUGUAGCAAUUAAGUGCAAUGAGGGAACAUGGAUGAUGAUAAGGUAAUCUUGACUCAUGUUUCUUAUUUGGUUGUUGAGCUCUUUGUCAUUUUACAUUAAUUCUUCUUUCUUUUUAACACAUUCCAAGCCUCUUUAGUUUUCCAUUUCGUCUAUCCACCUUGCUUCAUGCAUGUGCUAUCCAUUCCAAGCCCAAAACUGCUCCAAAAUGCACCAAAAUGCACCUUAUUGCUGUAUAAGGCCUAUGGACCUACAAACACACGAAAAUAGCUUAAAAUACAUAAUUAACUUAGAAAUAACAACAUAAAUGCAUGAGAACAAGCUAACUCAGUCGCAUAAAUAUGCUCCUAUCACACCCUGCUCGGACUUGCACUUUGGAUUACCAAGAAGGAGUUGUCUUUGAGAGAUUUUGAAGAGGUUGCUGCCGUCGGGGCUGUUGUCAGCGGCGAUGAUGUGCAAGGGGUGGAGGGAGACGAGGAUGAGGUUGUGGAAGGCGGCGGAGAUGCUUAGGAUUAGGGUUCCGACAAGGGCACAUCCUCCUCAUCUCAUUUCUUCGAAUGACAGCGUUGGGUUCACCCUGGAUCACCAUAUACUUCAUCGCUGCUGCUGCUACCUUCUUUGGUUUCGGUGGAGCUCACCACAGACUCGACAGGGGAGUUCAUGGUCGAGUUGGAGUCAAACGAGUCAAACGCGUAGAGGAACUCAGUGGGGAAGCUGAUGCGGGAUUUGAGGCAGUUCCAGCAGAAGAUGUGGUCUUUGUUGCUGUCGUCCAUGUUGCAGUGGAGCACGACGUCGUCCGUGAGGAAGUGGGAAUGGAGAUGGAUUCUCUGGAAAAGCUUUGGGUUCCUGGGUUGUGCAGAUUCACGAUGGACAGACAGCAACAAAGACCACAUCUUCUGUGAGGACUUUGGUACAACAGUUGAUGCACAAAAUUGAGAGAGAAAUUGAGAGAGAACCGACAUAGCUUUUCGUGUCGUUUCCCACAGACGGUGCCAAAUGUUGAUGCACAAAAUCAGUGAGGACUUUGGUACAACAGAAAGUGUUAAGUUUGUGACAUUCGCUAGAUUGCUCCGGUCACUAGUGUGGAUAAGUAUGUAAAUGGAUAGGGACAGGGAAACAAACACAAGAUGUACGUGGUUCACCCAGAUUGGCUACGUCCACAGAGUAGAGGAGUUCUCAUUAAUUGUGAAGGGUUUACACAAGUAUAUAGGUUCAAGCUCUUCUUUAGUGAGUACUAGUGAAUGAUUUGGUACAAAUGACAUUAGGAAAUAUUGUGGGAAAAUGAUCUCCUUUUAUAGAAGAGAGUUUCUAGCUUUGUUCUGACAUUGACACGUGUCAUGUUGUGAUUGGCUUCUGAUGUUGACACAUGUUGCGCUAUGAUUGGCUUUUGAUGUCGACAUGUGUCGCGCUGUGAUUGGCCUCCUGGUUGGAGGGAAACUCUUCUAGGUCUUUAACGGUAUAACGUUGACCGGUGCUCAGUAGUUUCAGGAUUGGUCAAGUAUGGUACAAACAAACUCUAUUACAAAAUACUCGACUGUUCUAUUUAUACCAAUUCAAAGGCGGCUACUCAAAUAUUUGUUCUCACGAUAUAUUAAAUGAGUCUUGUUGGUCAAAUUGAUGAAGUGCUUAGUCAUAUGUGGGUAAAUAUUCUCAAAGUAAACAACUAAACUUUUGGAAAAAAAAAAAAAGCCCAACUAAACUAGCACUCAACUAACCGGGCAAAUUACUUGAACUUGAUUCAAUAGAGUCUAAAGUAAUACAAAUCACACUAAAAUGAUCUUAAAUUUAUUUCAGAUGAUGGGCAUAUUGAUCAUGUACUAGAUAUGGGGACCUCAUGGGCUUUUCGCACAACAAAUUCCACGGGAAGCCUAACCUAAUUAACAUGAUUUAAUUUGUUUGAGUUUUCUCUUAAUAUAUAUCUAAUUAAGAAUACAAUUUUUUUUUCUUCUCAAAUAAAAAAAAAAGAAUACAAUUUUUUAAGGGAAUUAUUGUUCGCACUGUAAAAUUUUUAUUUUGCACUCCAAAUUUUCUAUAAUUAAAAAGAAUAUUGCAUGCAGUUAUGAAGAAUGUAGAAUGAGAUUUUUUGAGUGUUAAUAACAAUUUUUUUUUUAAAUAUCACAAGUUUCUUUAAUAUAUAUAGACACUGUUUUGUUAAUACCAUAAUUUUAUUAGCUAUAGUUUUAUUUUUUUUGAGAACUUUUUAUUAGCUAUAGUUUGGUUUAAACUUAUUAUACAUGGAUUUAUAUUUAACUAUCACAAGUUUAAAAGCAAGUUUGUUAUGCUAACUUAUCAAGUACCAAUCACUUCAUUGCCAACUUACUUUUUUUUUUAAUGGGGGAAAUGAUAAGCCACGGUUAUCCACCUCUUUUAGGCCCAGAGAGGCUAUGAUGAAUUUCACCCUGCUUGUGGCCACAAUCAAGCAAACUCACCAGCUCGGCAACAUCAAACCCGUUGUUUAUUGGGGAGUCGCAAUCUACGCCUUUACCAUUGGACCACUUAUUGUGUUUCAUUUCAACUUAUCAUGUAAAGGAUAUUGACUAUCUUUUUUUUUUCUUUUUUUCUUUUUCCUUUUCCGAGGGGUUAAAAACGUAAGUAUCAUAGUCAAAUAUUUUAUUUUAUUUUAUUUGUAUUUCUAAGAUAAUAUCUUGUCUGCUACCUCUCGUAGUACCACUGCAAUUUGUUUUCUUACUACUCGGUAUGAUGCAUUACAUAAAUAUAAGCAUGCAAAUCUAUGUAUUAGAUCAAUAAAAUUUUUUUUUAUGUAUUACAGUUUACUUACAAGAAAUAAUCCAAGAAAAAUGAAAUGACAUUAAGGCAGAUAGCUCAAAUACAGGAAAAUAAACAACACAAGACUAAACAUUAUUGAUGCAGAAUUGUAUUAUUGUACGUAAAUAGAAUUUACCGUUGUAAUAGUUACAAUACCAUUCACUAAUAUGCAAACAUAAUCAACUGUUGCACACUCGAGCAUCAUGCAGACUGAUAUUAAUAUAUAUUUGGAUCCUUAUAUAUCAGUCAUGAAGAUGAAGUCCCAUGAUUAUUUAUAAACACAUACAAUAUCAUUCCUCUCAUCAAUGUGAGAUUUAUUCUCAACCAUUUAUAAAUCUUUUGUUGUAUUAAACACCUGCGGCGGAAGCCAAUGGAACCUGCAUGCAGCUGCAGUAUUCUGCAAGAGCCAUUAACGGGAAAGUAAUGCAAUAAUUUGCGUAGUGUAACAUGCAAUUACUAAAGAAACCACCUGUCAAUUCCUGCAAAAAAAAAAAAAUUAAAAUUAAAGUUAGUUAGAAUGGUAGUUUAAUUAUUUAUUUUCCGCUCCUCCACUUGCAUAGUUGCAUAUCAGUGAAUGCAUAUUAUUUUUAAGAAAAAAGCUAAUUAACCAUCAUUAUCCAAUAUUUAUAUAUGAGAAUAUGACUUUAAUCCUUUGAAACUUAACUUUCGUUAGAUAAAAUCAAACAUUAACUUUUUACUUUAAAACUUAUUGACUAGGCUCCACACAAGCAAAUACAUUAAUUAUGUUUGACUUCACCAAUUGUACAUUUUCGAAUGCCUAAAAUACCCUUAAUAACAUUUUUUACCUAUACAAUUAAUUGUAUACGAAUUAAAAGGUGGAUUAAUGAUUCUUGAAAAGACAAAUAAGCAUUAAUAUGUCUUCAUACUGUGAUUAUAAGUAGCUAAAAAAGGUCAAGAGGAGUAAUUAGAAUUUAAUGCCCAUAUUAUGUGGGCAUGAUUGAAGUCAAAAUUGGAGGGUUGUGUGAGAAAACGUUAGAAGGGUAGUGGCAUAUGUUGUAAAUUAUCUGAAGUAAUAGGUCAAUUAAUUUUUAACAUGGCAUCAAAUUUGAAUUUUGGGUUUAUAUUGGAUGUUUAAAGAUAAAUGAGUUUUUAUUUAAAAAUCACGAGUUGUAUGAGUCUAUAUCUAAAAAAGGUCGUACCCAGUGCACAAGGCUCCCGCUUUACGCAGGGUUUGGGAGAGGUGAAUGUCGGCUAGCCUUACCCCCAUUUAUGGAGAGGCUGCUCCCAAGUCUUGAACCCGAGACCUACCGCUCAUGGACGAAGGCACUUGCCAUCGCACCAAGUGCGACCUCUUUGUAUGAGUCUAUAUCUAAAGAACAUAAAUAUUCAUUUUUCCUCUGAGAAAUGAUUAUCUAGCAGCAUAGAAAGCGGUACCUGUUGAGGGAAUCCACCGUUCUCCAUCUGAGAAUUGAUUAACAGCUUCGCAGCACGGUGAAGAGGAGUCGGGUCUCUUUCUGCCUAUUACAAUUUUAUAAAACAAGUGUUAAUUAAUGCUUAAUAGCUGAAUGAAAUUUUGUUUACGAGACUAUUUUUAGUUUUUUAAAAGUCAUUAGUUCACCUGCUGGGCAUGAAUUAAACCCAUUAAAGCCCAUGCAGUUUGUACUAAGUUUGAUCUUCUUCCUUCGAGUGGUAUUAAUUUCUGCAUAACAAUAAAGAACCAAGCCAUUUCUGCUGCUUAGAGAAGACACAAAAUUUCUGGUGUUUUUCACUAUGCCAACUAGCCAAGAUAACCGAACACCAUUGUUUGGGCAUGAAAUCCUAGUUACCUUGUUUGGGCAUGAAAGGUAGCUCUCUCCCCAUCCACCAUCAUCUCCUUGGGUUGUAAGUAGAAAGCGAACACCAUUGCGCAUAGCCGGACAAUUGUAAUAAGUUUUUCCAGCAGCUGCCAAACCUUUAAGCGCAAACCAUGCACCGUAUGUGAAGCAAAUUCCCCAAACUGCAUACCUGUAAUGAUUUCCCAUAUGUAAUUAAUUUCAUUUUCUUUUUACCAAAGUAAAUAGAGGAUUAGGCGAUGUUAGCUCCUCAGUAUUAAUCUGAAUGGUGCCCACAAUCCCUAUUAUCUUAACAAACCUAUAGCAGAGAAGUUGUGAUAGGUUAUGAAGAUAAGAAGCAACAGCACAAGGAAGACAAAAAUCCCACCCAAAUGGUUUCAAAUGUUUAAGUGUCAAAGAAAUGUUUGGAACAAAUUUUAAACCUUCAAAUGCACAGAGCAUACCAUGAACCAUCAGGGUUUUGUGUGUCUUCAAGAUAUUGUGCAGCGCGAACAAUAAAUUCUUCUAUCUCUUCCUUCCUAUGCUCAGGAUGUAACUUUUUGAACAAAACCAUAGUUUGUAAUGCCGAGGAAGUGAGCUCAACAUACCUAGAUCAGUUAUGGUUUAAUUAUUUUAUUUGGAGCCAAGAAUAUGAAGAAAAGAUUAAUGAAAUGAAGAGCAAGAUCAGGAUCUUACUCAUGCUCAAUGACGAUGUUCUCAAGAAAAUCCACGGGAUUAAGCAUCUAGAAAGAGACAAAUUAAAAAGACAACUUGUAGUGAUAUAUGCUACAUAAAAUGUAAAUUGUAUGCUUACUCCCAAUUACCAUACCUCCAACCAUGAUGGAGCUCCUGCUGGCUCCCAUAUUGAUACACCACCAUUUUUACUCUGCAUAUGAAUAAUUCAUAGAACCUUCUCUUUUCAUCCAUUAAAGUAAUGGAACUUAAGGAAAGCCAGAGUACCAGAAAAGGAAAGACUUCAGAAAAGCACUAAACACACCUGCAUAGUGAGCAGGAAGUUAACAGCAUCAUAUCCUCGCUCCAGUUCGAUUUUAUCACCAACAAUUUCUGAUGGCAUCAUUGAGAGUAGUAGGCAACACUGUGUACAAGAGAAUAUAUCAUACAGAGUUUUGAAGUAAGAUGUAUUGCAUGCAUUUUCAGAAGCUUAUAAAUUCUCAAUAUGGUUUAAUUGUUGCUUUACCUUCAGAUUUUCUGAAAGGGAAUCAGAAGCUGGCAAUCCGUGAUCUUGAUCAGACAAAGUCCAUGAUCCCUUCGAAGUGCAUCGAAACAUGCUCUUAAAAUCACCAACAGGAUUAUCCCUCACCUUCAAAAUUGUAGUGGGAUGUACAGAACAAGUAAGCCCUUGACGAUCAAAUUUGUAGUGGGAUAUAUAGAUCAUUUUGGACGAAUUUUAUUAGUAACCUCAGUUUCUUCUUGGGUUUUCAUUGAUUUUUCUAAAAAAACCUAAGGAUGAUUGGAGUAAUAUCUUUUACAUCAUAGAUUAAAGAAGGGAAUGAAUACAAUUGAGCAUAUAAUUCUUAUAUAACUAAAAAACCUGGGAUUUCUUUAUGAAGUCAUGUCCUUUCAUAAGUGUGGGACCAGUCUCAGAAGCACUUAGGUUGCGAGUGGCAGCAAGAAAAGCUUCAAUGAUAUAAGCAAUAUCCCAAGAUUGAGUACCCAGACUCUGCACAGUAUGAUGGCAACAGUCCAAACUCAGCGCCUCAUUGUCUCUUGGAGAACCAUAUUCAGCAAUUAAAACGACUAUAUAAUUUUUUUAAAGGAAGACUCCACGGUACCUUAUUAAAAAAAAGAGAUAUCGGUACAAUCUAAGAGACACUAUGAUGACUCUAUAUUAUAUUUAAGGGUACAUAAUAUGAUAAGGUUCAUGUUAGUGACAAAGAAUGAUGUGAUUUAUUACGAUAAUAAGAUUAAUAGUUACAUUGUGGACGUCCUAUACAUUGUCAAGGUAAGUUUGUGUACUUCAACAUGAUUCAAUUACAAAAUUCCAUUUAUUGUUAUACCAAUGACAUACUAUUAUAGUAUAGACAUUUGUUAUUAGGGAAUGUUAUGAACUUACAACAUUGUUAUCGUGUUACAACAUAAACCAACAUACAAGAUCUAAGGUAAGGUUACACCGUAAUAGUUCAAAUUUACACUACCCAGUUACCUACUUAUAGUAACGUUAUAUUCAAGGGGUUUUUGAACAUUAGUCCUUGAAAAAAAUUGAAAUUAAAAAAAAAAAAAUCUGGUGUUAGAUACAUAUUGAUUUUAAUUCUUUAAAGUGUACCUUUAUUAAAAUUCAUAUUCUAUUUUUAUUUAAUGUCUUCAUUAAAAAUUUUGAUUUUAUUAAUAUGCACAUUUUAAUUCUUUCAGUUAUAAAUAAACCUAAAUGAGAAAAACUUUAAAGAAAUUAGUGAUGCAUUAGAAAAAUAUGUAAUUACAUAAGUUUGCAGAAAUGAUCCCCUUUUAAAAGAAAAAAAAAUUAAGUUAACGUGUUUGUACCUAAAUGUCUAUACCUAAAUGUUUGUAUCGAAAUACAUUAUAAUGAAUUAGUAUACCUAAAUAUUUCUACCGAAAUAUUGCGUACCUAAAUUUUUGUACCGAAAUAUAUUUAUAAUGAGUUAGUAUACCUAAAAUAUAUGUACCAAAAUAUAUUAUAAUAAAUUACUUAGACUUGGAAAAAGGAAAAUUAUGAAAUUACCAAAAAAUAAAAUAAAAAUGACAUAGAACAUAAAUACUAACAUUUAAAUAAAACAAGGGACUAAACUCAAUUUUGAAUCUUGUAUCAGGCAUUAAACUAAACCUCAUCUUAUUUAAAUAUUAAAAUCUAUUUUUCUACAUAUUUUUUACUACCACUAAUGAUAUUGGUAUCUCUAUACCAAGGUUCCGCUUUAUGGUGUGGACGUUAGGUUACACCGUAAUGGUUCAAAUUUACACUUCAAAGUUAUAUAAUUAUUUUAUUGUUAUAUUUAAUUACACCAAAUGAUGUCGGUAUUACCAUACGUACAUUGCUCUUUAGGGUCUAGACGUUAAAUUACAUUGUUAAAGGUAGUAUAUUACAGUUGAACGUUAUUGCAUUAGAGUUUAACAUUUAAAUUAAAUGAUGCCGGUACCUUUAUUUUUAUUUAAGUACUGUAGAUGGAUCCUAGAACUGAAAUUCAGUAGUAACAAAUUCAAUAUAUACUAAAACUGAAAAUCAAUUGAAAUACUGUUGAUAAUAACAUUGUAGUUCCGAUUUUUUCCUUGCUUAGUUUGUAUUAUUAUAAGUCUGCCAUUCUGUCCGCUGAGUUCUUGAGCCGUCGUUUACUCUCUUGGACAGCACAGCGAGAAAACUCAAUUUCCUCCUCCACGUCUACGUUCGCUCGACUUCAAUUCGAACCAAAAAAAUCUCCGACAGCCCGCACAACCCAUCAAACCCUAGAAAUCAUUUCUUUUUUUGGGCAUCCGGAGGGCUCCUCCUUAUUUGUCUCUGCUCUUUGUUCUCUCCAUUCGAUUCAAUUUCGGUGAGUUCUUCGUUGAUCCUUGCCCUCAUAGUUUCCUAAUUUGAUUUUCUUGGGUGUCUUUAGCCGUCAUUUUGAUCUGGGUUUUCUGAGUUGUUGCUUUUAGUUUUUGGGUUUUAAUUUUUUCGGUGGUUUGAUGAAUCUGUGUGCGAGUAUUUGGUGUUUUGUUAAUUAAGUUGUAUUUGGGGCCUAGGGUAAGCUCAGAAACUAAAAGAAUUGAGUUCUACUGAUGAAAUAGGUUUCUUUUGGGAAUGCUGUUAGUAGUUUGAAUGGCUUACGUAUAAACAUACAUUGAACUCCUUCAAUUCUAUUCCUUUAUGAAUAGUUUAAUUGAUACGGCCUAUUUGUUGAUGAGAUAGUCUAUCAAAACGUUAUGUAGUUCUACCAAAAGGUUAUGGAGUUCAAUGCGCGAGGAAUUAUCUGCAUACCUGAAGGAUGAAUUUAAGGUAAAUUAUACUAAAGAUGGUAGUAACUCAUCUCUACCUCCUUCCCCUCUACUUGCACCAAUUGUGACAGAUUUUCCUUUUUGGUUCUAUCUCAGGAGUUUUUCAAAGAGAAAGUUCGUGAACGAAAGAAAUCUAAUCCAGAGAUAUUUUAUUUUUUGGCAGAUAUAUAUCAUGCAUUAUAUUUGGGUGUUUGAACAUGUUUGUCUAAAAGUAUACUCUGUUUUUUAGCGUACAACUUUUUCUCUUUCCUAUUAUAUAUUUUAUAGGCCAAAGAAGCCCAGAGAAAAGCUAUUGAAGUAAGAAGUGAAGAGCUAAAGCAGCAUUUGAAAGUAUGAUUUAAGUUUUACUCUGUACUUACACAAGAUACUCCUGACAUUUCAAAUACAGUAACUUCCCAAACACUGAUAAUUUGGUUUUCUAUUGGUAUAUGUGAAACCAGCUUGAUAUACGUUACAAGGUUGAGGGUUGAGGAUAGUUGGCAAAUAACAAAAGUAAUUUAUUGUCUAGCGUAUAUAAUAAAACCAACCAUAGAAUAAGAGUGUCGUUUUGCUCUAAGUUUUUGAAUUAAUGUAAGAAUGGUUUUCUUAUUUAACUUGCCAAAUGCAUAAAUAAUUAGAUUAUUCUGUAGUAUUUUGCUGUGGUGGUAUUAAUUUUUUUUUGAGUACAUCGUAUUUUUACACUAAAGGGAGGAGGAGUUCGGCUAAGCCACACAAUGGAAAGCCUAAUUUGGUAUCGAAUUCGCUAUCCACGAGAUUUAAACCUAAAACCUCUCACUUCCAGGUGAAGAUGAAUACCACCAGACCGUAGUACUGAGUGACUUAUUCUGUUUUUAGAUGGCUUAAUCUGGCUUAUUCUGUAAUUUUCAUGUCUAAUUAGGUACUAAUGUUUCUACUUUCUGUGUUCUGUAAAUUUUUUUGGUCAUGAGUUGUUAUUAGUUUCUAUUGACAAGGAAAUGCUUGAGUUUGCAAUUCAACCCAUAGAUUUAAUGUAAUUGUAUUUUAUCGUAUUUAUGAGGAAAUCUAUAUACGGUCUAUGACAAUAAAUUACUAGCCUUCAUAUUGGUUUGUUAUAAUUAAUUUGGAAUGGUUGGUUUCAGCAGCCAUCUAAGAAGGAACAAAUUGAUGUGGAAUGAGAUAUUGCCAAUGCCAAUGAAUUGUGGAGCUCAUUAUCGAUUCUUGGCCUGAUGCAAGUACUCCACUUUAUGUUUUUCUGUCUGCCAUGUGUUUUCUUCUUUUGUUUAAAAUAGAAGUCUUAGUUCCAAUAAAAAUAUAACCUCUUUUAACACUUUGUAUAUGCAUGAAUUACCCCAAACUAGAGUUACUAUAUUUUAUGCCUCUUUUCUUUCUAUUUUUGUACUCAAGGAGGUAUUUAAUAUGUCAUAGAAGGUCAAAGGCCUUUGCUUUAAUUUCCAAAUCAUCAAAUUGAAUGUGCUUAUGUAAUCUUAAUAUUGAUUUUAUUUAUUUAUUUAUUUUUAUUUAUUAGUAUUUGACUCUUCUCCAAUUCUCCCUUUCGACCCUUUUAAUCUUCUUUUGUUUCGAUUUUGAUAAUUACCAAGUUGAAAUUUGUAAUUAAUAAGUUGGAUUUUAUAUUUAAUUUAAUCUGUAAAUUUUGUAAAAUAUGCAGGGGAAGUUCAAAGUCGAGAGGGGUACACACAUAUUAAGCAUAUGUAUCUCAGUCGGAUUGUAGAUUUUGUAUGUAAAUAGUAUGUAUCUUAGUUCGAUUGUAGAUUUUGUGUGAUUUUUAACAGGACUAUCAAAUCUUUUUCAUGUAAAUUGCAUGUAAUACACAUCAAGUAGUACUAGAUACAAAGUUUUUGUAUGAUUUUCAAUCCCACAACACCGCGCGGGGCAUUCCUUGCAAGUUUAUACUAGAAGUGGGUGUGCAAUACCAACAAUAAUAAAUUUUGGGGAUUAAUAAAAGAAAUAAACCCUCCUUAUUUUAUGAAAAAUGCUAGAGAGACUAUAAUUUGUAAAUCAUUUUGGAACCAUUUCUCUAAUGCUUUUAUUAGAUAUAUGGUUUAAAUGUCGUUUACAAAAUAUGGUCCCUCUAUCAUCACCUAAUAUUUAAACAAUAUUCCGACAUUGCCUCUUGUUUUCUCUAUUUUAUGGGCUGUACUAACCUGCAUUUUCAUGCCAUCUUCUGCAACCCAUAGGAAGUCUGGAACCCGAGCAAGAUGCUUUUUGAAAGAAUCACCAUCGGGGUCUUCAACCCAACAAGCAAGCAUGCAUAGUGUCUUUGCAUUUCAAGCCGUAUAAAUAUUUUAGAAGAGAAUCAGAAAAACAAAUAGUGGCAUAGUGCCUUUCCAUUUCAAGUCGUAUUAAUUAUCCUUACUAUUUUAUUUUUAUCACAAAUAAUACAUGAAAUUAGUCUAACCCUAACAAAAUGGUUUCUAAAAUAAAACUCGAUCAAUGUCGUCCUUAAAUAUGAAUGCUGCAAAUCAAUACCAUUCUUCCUCCUUUUUACCAUCAACUAUUUUGUUAGCAUGACGACAUAGCAUAUGAGUGGGACCAAUAUGGCCACGCGAAACCUUCUUAAAAUCAUGAUUUAAAAACUUAAAAGAAAUCUAAAGAUAUAAAAAUAAUUAUAAGUGCAAUUUGAAUAUCUAAACUACUUAUUAAUAGAAUCCUCUUUGUCAAUCAAAGAGAAUGAAAAUAUUAUUUAGUCUUCUAUCACAAAAAAAUGAUAAGCAAUAAUUUAAUUUUUAAAUUUUACUGUUUUUAAUUUAACUCACACCUAAAAGUGAUGUUAAGAUAUAUCUAAUUAAAAAAAUAAAAAUAAAAACCUCCCAGGCCACCCAUUCUCUCUCUCCCCCUCUCUCCCCCUCUUCUUCCCUUUUUUUUUUUUUAAAAAAAAAAAAAAGUGUUCUUACACACAAAGUGUGUAGACACAAAUACAAGUUAAAUAUAAAGAAAAAUGUUUGGAAAAAAAAAGGGAAAAAAGUGUAGCAGAACCUCAACUACCAAAAUCAUCCCCUUCCAUUCUUUUUCUUCUUAUUCCAUAUCGACCACUACCCGGUAUUGGUGUGUCCCGCCGUCCUCCACUUCUUUCGUCCGAAGAUAAAACUCAUGGCUAACAGACCCGCGACGAACCGACGAACCCGUGUACUUUCAGGCCUUUCUCGCCUUCUCCAGACGCUAUGCACGCAACAACUUCUCCUGUCUAAAUUCAACCCACGAUAACCUUCUCUAGCGGGGAUUCAAAGGGAAAUUUUCAAACAGCUAUGAGAUUUUAUGCUUUUCCACUGUUAUCAUCGAAAAAAAAUUCCUUUGAUAAGGGUACUGGACCCAAUACAUGAAUUUUUCACAAAUCAUGAGUAGAUUAAAAAAAAUAUUUUUUAACUGCUUUUUUUCUUUUUUAUUUAUUGUUACUAUAGAAUUUUAAUUAGUUUGGUAAAUUCUUUCAUUUUUAUUUUUAAUCCAUUUGACCCUAUUUAAUUAAAAAUGUCCGGUGAUAUGUGUGCCAUGUGAGCACACUAGUAAAAUAUUUGGCGAAAAUGAAUGGAAUGAUGAUAUUGAUUUGGAGCACUUAUAUUUAAAGACUACAUUUAUCAAUUUUCAUUUUUAAUGACCAUCUUAAUGAGGUUGAUCAAUUUCAGAUACUAUUUAUGAUAUAAACACCAUUAUUAAUUACCUUUUCUACACUUCCAAUGGUAAUAUACCGACUGCUCUCAUCUUCAUAAUGUAUGUGUUUGAUUGCUUCUUGAAGAGCUUUCUCUCUCAACUUGGUAAAGGGCCAAACGUUAAGAAGAGGCUCAGUAAUCAUGUACAUGGAAUCCCACACCAAAUCUUGCAUCCAUGGAUGGGGAAAGUAUAUGUCCACCUGCAUGCAUGUAUUAUACAAAAUUUUCAAUCUCGUAAUCCCACAUGAUAUGUACAUCCUUAGUGUGAAAGACAUUAAAACUAAUAUGAUAAGUAAAUGAGAUACAUCUAGCAUUACUCUACUAUGAAAUAAAUCAUGUAUUCUAAUAUAUAUAUAUAUAUAUAUAUAGUAUAUGUCCACCUGCAUGCAUGUAUUACACAAAAUUUUCAAUCUCGUAAUCCCACAUGAUAUGUACAUCCUUAGUGUGAAAGACAUUAAAACUAAUAUGAUAAGUAAAUGAGAUACAUCUAGCAUUACUCUACUAUGAAAUAAAUCAUGUAUUCUAAUAUAUAUAUAUAUAUAUAUUGUUGUGAAUAGAAUAACUAUUUAGAAAUAUGAUUGUGUAAACUUAACACAUAAUCCUAAUACGAUUUGAAGACUAAAUCCUCAUAGGUUUGUAUCACUUGUAAGGCAAGAAAAUCCAUCAUGAUUAGUAUAAAUAAAGGUAUAAGGCCAAGAGGCGAGGGCAUAAUUCUCAUACACUUAAGCCCUUCUCUCUAACCCACUUUUUAAAUUAGUUUCACAUCACGCCAUCAACACAACAUGUCUCUGCAAGAAGGAGAGGAUCUUGAAGAAAACCCCGCGAAAGCUUUUUCACCAUUUCAUCAACAUCCAAGUAAUCAUAAACCCUAAUCUAUUUGAUAUCAAUUUAAUUUAGGUCAUGAUUACUAAGAUUACUAUUCUGAGUUAUAUGCAAGUUAUAUGUUGAUGAAUAUGUGUAGGUAUAUCAAGAAAGAAAGAAAAACGAAGGACGCCAAAACCCUAAAUUGCAGAAGUUGGGGCUAGAGUCGCGCUAGUCCUAGCCCAGGUCCAGACGACAUGUCGUUUGGCAUGUCUUCUUCUUCCCAAUCUGUCGCCGCCUCCCUGCUUUGUGCAAUCGUAAGGGCUGCGAUCCCAAGACACAUCCGACGAUUUUUGUUGUCGAUGAAUACAUGUUGAGUGAAUAUUCAUUCUAAUCUCGAGCCCAAAGUUGCGAGCGUGCCAUUUAAAAACUUGGGGUUUUUUUCCUAGAAGCACACACACCAACCAUGUUGAGAGUUGUUGAGUUUUGGUUUCAAUAUUUGUUGUAUAUUUCAUUAUGAAUGUUACAAGAGAGUGAAUGCAACUCUUAUAGAGAGCCAAAAGAAAGCUACAAUAGAUUGUAGGAUAACUACACAAACACAAUCUCUAAAAUCUGCCCUCACAAGUGGAAAAGCAAAAACCAAAUUACAAGUAAAGAAGCUUUUACAAGCAACUAAGAAAUGUUGAUGUAAGGUGAAUGACAAGCUAUGGAAAGGUUGAUGUAAGAUGAAUGACAAGCUAUGGAAAGUGAGGUUGAUGUAAGGUGAAGGACAAGCUAUGGAAAGGUUGAUGUAAGGUGAAUGACAAGCUAUGGAAAGUGAGGUUGAUAUGGAAAGUGAGGUUGAUGUAAGAUGAAUGACAAGCUAUGGAAAGGUUGAUGUAAGGUGAAUGAUAAGCUAUGAAAAGUGACUUUAGCCUAUGACUUAGCUAAAGUGAGGAUGACAACUUAUACUUACAACCCAUCCAUACAAACCAGUUUCAAUACACCCCCUCAAGCUGGAUCAAGGGGAUUAAUUGAUCCAAGCUUGCACAACAAAUGUUGAAACUGAGUAGAGUCUAGUGCUUUUGUGAAUAAAUCAGCAAGUUGAUCGUGGCUUUGGAUUGAACUUGAGCACGAAUAUAAUGGCAGUCAACUUCAAUAUGUUUGGUCCUUUCAUGGAAUACUGGAUUUGAGGCAAUGUGCAUGGUAGCUUGGUUAUCACAAUACAAGGACGUAGGUGUCAUGCUUGUGAAUCCAAGCUCGGAAAGAAGACCUUUCAACCAUAUGAGUUCACAGGCUGUUGCUGUCAUAGCCCUAUACUCAGCUUUGGCACUAGAUCAAGCAAUAACAGUUUGUUUCUUGUUCUUCCAAGUGACAAGGUUCCCUCCAACAAAUGUGCAAAAACCUGUUGUGGAUUUUCGAUCAAGGGCAUUUCCAGCUCAGUCAGCAUCUGUGUAGGCCAAGAUGUGAUUUGAUCCAUUGUUCUUCAUAAUUAUCCCCAUUCCUACUGAGCCUUUGAGAUAUCGAAGUAUUCUCUUGACGAUUUCCCAGUGAAUUAGAGUAGGAAAGUGCAUGAACUGACUGGCUAUACUAACUGAAUAGGAGAUAUCAGGCCUAGUAAUGGUGAGAUAAAUAAGUUUCCCAACCAUUCACUGAUAAACACUAGGGUCCGAGAGAGGUUCACAUUUUUCAUGCCACUGAAGUUUGCUAGCUAGGGGUGUUCGAGCUGGUUUACAUUCCAUUAUGUUAGCUUCAUCUAGAAGAUCAAGAACAUACUUUCUUUGAUUCAAGAACAAUCCAUUUGAAAAGGUAGCUGCCUCAAUUCCAAGAAAGUAUUUCAAGAGCCCUAAGUCUUUAAUGGCAAAUGUUUGGUGAAGUGACUGCUUAAGCGUAUUGAUUUCACUUAUAUUGUCACCUGUAAUAAUUAGGUCGUCAACAUAUAUAAGUACUACCAAUUUGCCAGCAAUAUUACUUCGAACAAACAAAGAAGAGUCAGCAUGACUCAUUUUGAACCCUGCAGCUUCAAGGACUGAACUAAGCUUCGAAUACCAAGCUCAAGGGGACUAUUUGAGACCAUAUAUGGCUUUGUGAAGUCUGCAGACCUUGUUGGGUUCAUUUUCUCUUGAAUGACCAGGAGGCAACUUCAUGUACACUUCUUCUUCAAGAUCCCCAUGAAGAAAUGCAUUCUUCACAUCCAUUUGGAAUAAGGGCUAUGCAUUAUUGACUGCCACAUACAACAAUAUCCUCACUGUGUUCAUUUUGGCAAUAGGAGCAAAUGUCUCCUUAUAGUCAAAGCCAUAAGCUUGAGUAAAGCCUUGAGCUACUAAUCGUGCCUUGUGUCUUUCAAUGCUUCCAUUGGAGUUGAAUUUGGUCUUAUAUAUCCACAUAUUUCCCACGACCUUCUUGCCAUUCAGAGCUUGAAGCUCUUUAGUCAUAGCAUCUUGCCACUCAGGCAUGCAUGUGGCUUCAUGAAAAUUCCUUGGUUCGAAAGUGUGAGACACUUUGUUAAGGAAAGAAGUAUGAGAAGAUGAGAAUCUGUGAUAAGAAAUGGCUGCAGAGAUAGGAUGCCUUGCAAUGUAAGUAACAUACUCUUGUAACCUCACUGGUGGAUGUCUAUCUCAUGUAGGAUUUCUUCUUGGUGCACUUAUAACUUGCUGAUUUUGUUGAGCUUCUGAUGGUUCAGAUGAGCUUGGCACUGCAUCAGUUACACUCUCAGUGAGUUGAGAAUUAUCAGUGCUGAUAUGAGCAGGAGUGACUUCAUGAAUUUCUGCUGGAAUAGGUAGUGGAAAUAGGUCCAUAAGAUCUUCCAUAUUAGCAUUAGUCUCUAACCCUUUGUGGAAAUAAGGUGAAUAUUCAUCAAAUCGCACAUCUCUAGAGACUGCCAGCUUUCCCGUGUUAUGGUUGUACACUUUGUAACCCUUUUAAGAACUUACGUAUCCUAUAAACACACAUUUGACAGCUCGAUGGUCUAGUUUGUCACGAUGGAGAGCUUGAAUAUGCACAUAACAAGUACAACCAAAGGUCCUAAGGUGAGACAAGCUUAUAGGCUUGCCCUUUAUGACUUCAAAAGGAGAUUUAGUAUUCAACACCCGAGUUGGCAGUCUAUUAAUGAUGUAUGUGGCAGUGAGUAAAGCUUGAGACCAAAAUUUCUUAGGAACAUUCAUUUGGAUCAUAAGUGAUCGCGUCUUCUCCAAUAAGUCUCGAUUCUUUCUCUUUGCCACACCAUUUUGUUGUGGUGUACCAACACAGCUAGUUUGAUGCAAAAUGCCAUGAUUGCUCAAGUAAUUACUCAUGUUAUUGGAAGUGUACUCGGUACCAUUAUCUGAUCUUAACAUAUAUAACUUAGAUGAAAAUUGAUUGGUGAUUAGGUUGUGAAAGUCCUUAAAAGCAUCAAACAAAUCACUUUUAAGUUUUAAAAGAUACAACCAGGUUACUCUAGAAUAAUGUAGCAUAAUAUUUAUACCCAUCAAAGGAUUCUACAUGAGAAGGACCCAAAAUAUCAGAGUGAACAAGCUCAAAAAGUUUACUAGUUCUAGAAUUAGAGGAAACAAAAGGAAGUCUAGUGGCUUUUGACAUUUGACAAGUUUCACACUCCAAUGUGUUUUUACAAAAAAAGGGAAACAACUUAGUCAUCACAUGUUCUAAGGGAUGGACAAGGCGUUGAUGCCAGAGUUGGUGUUCCUAAACUUGACUUAAGUUAACACUGAGUUUUUUAAAAAAAUUGGACUCCUUUGAGAGAUAGUAGAGUCCAUUCAAGAAGAACCCUUCACUAAUCUUCUUCUGAGUAACUCGGUCUUGAAACACAACAUUGUGAGGGGAAAAUAUGGCAAGACAGUCUAAGGUUUUUGUGAUUUUUCCUAUUGACAAGAGCUGAAAAGGAAAAGAAGGUACAUAGAGAGCAAUGAAAUCAGUAUGCUCACUUAACAAUCUAAUAUUUCCUUUCCCUAGAAUAGGUUCCCCUUUCCCAUUUGCAACAGAUACAUGAAUUGGAUCAAUAGUUCUUUGAAAAUCGUGGAGACUAGAGGGUUUAUUAGUUAUAUGAUCAGUGGCACCAGAGUCAAUAAUCUAAAAAUCAUGUGUAACAUUUGCAUUAAGAGCAUGGAAAUGGCACUGAUAAUACAUGGAGUCUUGCCUUUCAAUGUGUUCUCCGAGUCAGCUAUGAAUCCAGCAAAUUUCCCUAGCAUUGCAGUAGGGUUUUCAGGUGUCAUUUCAUCAGGUUCAGUGCUUCCUUGCUUCUUUUGAAGAAAAGCAGCAAACUCGUUGAUCAAAGGCACAAGAUUUGUUGAGAAAUUGGCCAUCCCAUCAGUUGAGGAACAAGCUGAAUGAAAUGCUUUUGUAGUGACUCCACCUUUCCUAUCUUUGAUCAUCAUGCCUUCUUUAUCAAACUUAUGCUUUAACUCCGGAUGAAGAAUCGAACAUUUUUCACUCAAAUCUCCCUUCAUGUUGCAAUAAGAACAUUUCCAGUCUGCUUUCUUGCCAAGCACCCUAUCACCAGUUGCUUUAUGAUUUGUUAUGAAAACCCUAGCUUCAGAGUUGGAUUUGGGCUCAACGUUCAUCAUUCUUUGUCGAGUUUCUUCUCUCUGGACUGCAUGACACACAGUGGUAAAGGAUGGCAGCUCUUGAGUCAUUAACAAGUGACUACGCAGGUCUUCAUACUCCGCUCCCAAGCUUGCUAAGAGUUGAAAAACCUUGUCUUCAUCAGCCCUCUUCAGUAGCACAACGAAAUCAGUCGUGUGUGGACGAUACAUAUCGAGUUCAUUCCACAUGGAUUUCAUACUUCCAAGGUGUUGAACAAAUGAGUGAUCACCUUGCUUUAAACUAGCCAUACUCUUCAAUUGAAAGAUGCGAACUGAGUUGAUUUGGCUGCUAUACAUGCCUUUGACAGACUCCCAUAGGAGAAGGGAAGACUCUGAGUAGCUGAAAAGCUCAGACAGUUUUGGCUCCAUGGAGUUAAGUAACUAGGACAUGACCAGCUGAUCAGUAGUAUGCCAUGCAUCGUAAGUUGGUGAAGUGGAUUCUGAGGGCUCAAAGCUUCCAUUGAUAAACCCUAGCUUCGAUCUUCCUCCUAGAGCAAGUGACACAGCUCUUGACCAAGGAAGGUAGUUGAACUCGUUCAGUAGCACCGAGCAGAGUCGUUGAUUUCGAUUGUUCUCAACCUCUUGGGUUAAGUUUGGGGAGGAGGAUGAGACAUUGUCGGCACUAGACACGUUUUCUUCUGCCAUAUCUAUCGAUGAUGAGCAAAUGAAAAAGUAAAAAAAAAAAAAAAAAAAAACAGAGUCAGGACCCUAUGGUUCCUGCUCUGAUACCAUGUUGAGUUUUGGUUUCAAUAUUUGUUGUAUAUUUCAUUAUGAAUGUUACAAGAGAGUGAAGGCAACUCUUAUAGAGAGCCAAAAGAAAGCUACAAUAGAUUUUAGGAUAACUACAUAAACACAAUCCCUAAAAUCUGCCAUCACAAGUGGAAAAGCAAAAACCAAAUUACAAGUAAAGAAGCUUUUACAAGCAACUAAAAAACGGUUGAUGUAAGGUGAAUGACAAGCUACGGAAAGUGAGGUUGAUGUAAGGUGAAUGACAAGCUAUGGAAAGGUUUAUGUAAGGUGAAUGAUAAGUUAUGGAAAGUGACUUUAGCCUAUGACUUAGCUAAAGUGAGGAUGACAACUCAUACAUACAAUCCAUCCAUACAAACCGGUUUCAAUAAGAAUUUUUGACCUUUAUGAUGUAAAUCCGUUAAACCAAACUUUGUCUCUAGAAUCUAUGGUUCUAGCUAUAAUGCCUAUGAAUUUUAUUCAAGGCACUAGUUCACAUUUUGGUUAUUUACACAAUGUCGAACAUCGCUAAGCUCGAUUUCACCGCUUUGGAGAUAUUUGGAAGAAACUAUCUCAGCUAGAUUCAAGACAUGAAGUUCCACCUCAUUGCAAAGUGUAUUAGAGCAACCAUCGAGGCUGAGAAACAAACAAGUGAAGUUGAGAAGGCAAUCAUUAUGAUCUUUAUCUACUGCCACAUGUAUGAUGCAUUACAAACUGAAUAUAUGUCGAAGGAAGAUCCUCAAACUCUCUAGCCAACAUUAGCCAAUCGAUUUGGUCACUAGAAGUUGAUUAGUUUGCUUGAAGCUAGGCAUGAUUGGAUUAAUUUGAAACACCAAGACUAGAAGACUGUGAACGAAUAUAACUUCGAAGAUAGAGCAUUGUUCAAAUGGUAUAUUGGUUCACCAAUCGAACUACAUCCAAAAGGUGUGCCACUUAAUGGAAAAAGCAAAACCUUCAACUACUCUUAUGGUUGCUCAAACUCUAGAUGCAAAGCAAUAUCAAUUUCUUCCUAAAUAUGAUGAAGAAGAGGCCUUGGAACCUGAAAUUCCUUACCUAAGUGCAACUAGAGCUUUAUUGUAUUUAGCUCUAUACAUUAGACUGCACAUCUUCUUUGUUGUGAAUCUUUUGGCAAACUACAAUAAUGGCCUACACGCAGACACUAGACAAGUUUUAAAGACAUCAUGCACCUUAAGGGUGCAAUGGAUAUGAGCUUAUUCUAUCCCUACACAUCGCCAAGCGGAUCUAACUCCCUGAUCCUCAGAAUGAAGUCCGCCUUGUUGGUUAUGCAACACUGGUUAUUUAUCUGACCCGGACAAGGUUCAUUCUCAAAUAGGUUAUAUCUUUACUGUUAGAAAUACAACAAUAUCUUGGAGAUCAACCAAACAAUAGUUGUUAGAGCUGUUAUGUUUUUAUUUAAAUAUUUUAAAUAUAUUUAUGAUUUGUUUUAUUACAAACAUUGAAUAUAAAACGUAAAUUGUUAUUAACCUUAUAAAUUGUCAUUAACUUUAUUAUCAGUUCAGGAUCAUUAAUUCACUAGAAAUGUGAGAAAGCUUCUCACUUUAAAGAUGAGAUUCUUUCUUUGAAUAGAAAAAAAGAUCAAAUCUAUUUUUACAUAAUUUUUUAUUCCGUUGUGAUUUGGACGUUUUGAUUUAGUCCGUUUUGUUUUCUUCUGCAUUGAUUACUUGCAGCUUUCUUUCCUUUAAAUCAUUUACAUCCCCCAACGUCUCUUUUAUUAUAUAUAUAUAUAUAUAUAUAUAUAUAUAUAUAUAUAUAUAUAUAUAUAUAUAUAUAAGUCCGAAGGAUAAAAAAUAUAUAUAUAUAAUAAGAAAAAAAGACAAGUUUUACAAAUAUUGAGUUAAUAGCAACAUAUCGAAAAGGUGUGAGUUAGAAGGUUUUUCCGUUGUGCAAGGAAGAACCUUAUCAGAAGAAGGUUAUGGGCUGUUUUAUCCUGGGGACGACGUGAUAUUUGUGAAUUGCUUGCACACUUUUGGCAGAGCUGCGAAAUGUCUUCAAGAGAGCGAAUUAGUUCGCAACUCAUCCCAAGAAUCAUUCACCACUCAAAGCUUCUACAUUUUUCGGGUAACUUCGUUCCUUUCUAUUUCAGAUUCAACAAUUUUAAGACGUUUCAAUCUCCCAUGAAAUUGUGUUGACUGUAUGUUAUGUGUUAAAUAGAAUUCCUAACUCAAAAUCGAAUAUCUCUCCUUAUGAAAAUUGAAAAAUAAGAAACCAAAUGUGUUGUAUUUCAGAACUUGGGGUUGUUUAGCUUAUGUUCGUAAACCUGAUCCAAAAAGAUCGAAAUUGGCUAGUAGAGCAUAUGAAUGUGUUUUUAUUGGUUAUGCAUGUAAUAGCAAAGCAUAUAGAUUUUUUUAUUUGAAAAACCAUGUCAUAAUUGAGUCACUUGAUGCUAAUUUUUAUGAGAUUAAAUUUCCUUUUAAUCUUUGAAAUAGUGGGGGUUCUAAUUCUUCUAAAAUUUAUGAACCUACUGUCAGAUACCCCUUUAUGGGAGAAGAAGCAAGAUGAUUGAGAAACCUAUUGUCAUAUACCCCUUUAUGGGAGAAAAAGAUUCCAGUCAUACACGGUCUGAAGAAAAUUUAGUUGAUCCUUUGACGAAAGGACUAACAUGAGAAAAAGUUUCGAAAAAUCCUUUGAUGAAAGGACUAACAUGAGAAAAGGUUUGGAAAACCUUGAAAGGGAUGGGACUAAAGCUCGUAGAAAAUUGAGUCAUUUGUGAUAGCAACCUAACCUAUAGACUGGAGAUCCCAAGAAAAAGGUUCAAAGGGUAAUAACAAGUCGCAAGUGAUAUGAGUGAAGUCUUGCUAAUUUUAAAUUGGAAAUUAUUUCAUGUCCCUCCCUAAGAAGCAUGGCAUCCUGAAGCGUUUUUAGGUUGAGAUUUUUUCUCUUAGUAAGGUCUAUACUUUAUGUUGAGUGGGAUAUCUACUGGACUACCGUAGCAAGAUAUUUGUGAGAUUUUUUUAUUUUUUUUUUGAUAUGCACAUCUACUAUGAGACUCGUGUUAACAAUUACUGUACCUGUCGAGAACUGACGAAAAAAACCACCAUCUCCUAAUCAUUAUGUGAUUACUUCUUAAGUUGUACACACUUAAGGAAGAGUGUUUGUGAAUAGAAUUAUUAAUUAGAUACUUGAUUGUGUAAACUUAGAAUAGAAUCUUAAAAGGAUUUGAAGACCAAAUCCUCAUAGAUUUGUAUCACUUGCAAGGCAAGAAAAUCAUUAGUGUAAAUAAAGAUAAAAGGCCAAAGAGUGAAGACACAAUUCUCAUAUGCCUAAGCUCUUCUCUCUCUGCCGUCUCAUCUCUCUCACCCAUUUUUAUAAUUAGUUUCACAAUGUAUAUAUAUAAAAGGGAAAUAAACGAAUAAUUAGCUGACCUGUGCACAUAAAUGGCGAACUUUGCCCCAUUUGAUUUUGUUGUGAGGCUGAAUGUAGAGUUCUUCCCUCAACUGUAAUAUGAGUGGGGUUAUUCGGCCGACGAACUUUUUUCCAUACAGAUACGACAUGGGCAUAUACGUAUUGCGGCAGUAGCACAUCAUGUUGGCUGCAACAUAUACAACACAUAUAUUACAUGGUGAAGAAAUAAUUGGGUUAGUGUUCGCUGCAACUUAUAUACAACACAUAUAUUACAUGGUGCAAAAAAAUUGGGUUAAUAUAUAAAGCCACAACAGAACUUGUUAAUAGUUCAAACACACCAUUUUGGAGUGCAUGCUAACAAAUUCGGAGUGUGAAAAGAAAAUUAAUACUUGGUAGAAGUAAUGAGCUUUCGUGAUCACUACAUGCUGUAAUCAUUUGAGGUUGUUAGAAUAAUUUUGAUUACUGAGUUCUUUACGAUCGUGAUUCUAAAAGAUAUUAAACGCUAGUCGGAUGGCUAGUUAGAGUUUAAUGCCUAGGUGGCCAAGCGGGAACCUAAAAUUAUUAUAAAACAUGAAUAUUAUUUAAAGUUAUUGAGUUCUUUUUAACUAAAAUUAUUAUUGGCCAUCUAUUCUGUAAAAAAAAAAACCUUGGGCCUGAUUUAAAAUAUAAAUAAUAUAAAUAUAUAUAUAUAUAUAUAUAUAGAAAAUGGUGGAGUGAGUGAAGGUGACGGCUAAUGUUGUAUAAAAUGACACUUGAUUUAAAAAACCCUAACCACAACAUUAGCCGUCACCUUCACCCACCUCACCAUUUUCUAUAUAAUAUAUAUAUAUAUAUAUAUAUAUAUAUCAAAUGACACUUGAUUUAAAGAACCCUAACCACAACAUUAGCCUUCACCUUCACCCACCCCACCAUUUUCUAUAUAUAUAUAUAUAUAUAUAUAUAUAUAUAUAUAUAUAUAUAUAUAUAUAUCAAAUGACACUUGAUUUAAAAAAUCCUAACCACAACAUUAGCCAUCACCUUCACCCACUCCACCAUUUUCUCUCAAAACGGCGAGGCGAUCUCUUUUCUCACUUUCUGCAACUUAUCCCAUUCUCCACUCUCACUCUCUGAUGAACCCACCGUCACUCCCUUCCUCCUCUUUUCAGCCAAGUGAGGUCUGUGCAGAACCCAGAACCCAUCUUCUGCAGAACCAAUCUGUCAAAAGUUGCAAAGACGAGUUGCAGAUGGUGAACGGCCGGUGAUGAGAUUCCUGCCGAUGGUGAAUCGGAAAUUGUAGAACCGCCUAGACCGCCGCCUAGGCGGCUGCCUAUUUCCUCCCCCUUUUGUGAACGCCCUGACCAAAAUCACAGUGGAGCUCUGCCGCUUAGGACGAUUUUUAGAACACUGCUUAUUAUUACUAAAAAUGCUAAAUGUUUUAAGACCAUAUUCUGUAAUCAUAUGAUGUAACGGUUGGUUGAUGAUUGAAUUUUUUUUUAAUGGUUUAAACAAGGUGAUUUGAGAUUUUAUCUUCUUACGGAUUCAAUAUUCUAUUCAAUUAUUUAUUUUAAUCUAUUAAAUAAAAAUAAAAUAAUUCAUAAUCAUCCAAUUAAAGUCAAUCGAAACCAACCCAUAUGAAUCUAAUUAUCAACUGUGACAUAUAGUUUAAUUAUCAACUGUGACAUAUAGUUCAAGUAGAUGACCUAUCUGGCCUAGUAUUAUCCUUGCUAAAAAAUAGAUAUGUGAAUCAUUUCACCUUUUAACCUUCUUUUAUAUUUAAGGAAACUAAUGAAAAAGGUUUGAAAAAUUUGAGUUUUAAUGAUAAGGACAAAAUAAAGGGUAAAGUGAAUAGUACCAGGAUUAACUUUUUAGUGUAAAAAUGUGGUUUUUUGUUAAAGUGAAUAGUACCGGGAGCAUUUCGUUAAAGUUCCCUUUAUAUUUACUAACACAUAUGGAACUGAAAAAGUGUGAGUUAACUCUUGAAAUAUAUAAUCAAAUACCUAAAAUUCAACAAUGAGAUCAAACUAGGGAGGAACUGCUUUAUCUAAUACCCUUUCCUUGCUUUUCUUUUUUCCAAGUUUUCUAAUUCGUUUUUCCCUCCCACUUUUGUUAAGUAAACAUCUUUUUGUUUGGGUUAUUAUUGCACUUCUAAUGUCUACGUAGCUUUGUUGACCUUUGUCCAUAGGAAAUGAAAGCAUAUAACCAUUUGAUAAUAAAUUAUUCAAAGCGGAAAGUUAUUAAGCUAAGGGACUAAGCAAUUUAAGUUAAUUAUUAAUCAAUCUUUAAAGCUUCUUCAUCGCAUCUUCAGAAAGACAAAUUUCUAGAUCCAUCACCAUAUGAGUUCAUUAUAUAUAAGUUCAUUAAUAAAGCAGUCCAAGUUGAAAGACCAACAACAAUGUUUUUCAGGAAAAUGUUGCACUUUUAGUUGAACAUGAAGGAAUACUCUUCAUCCCAGCUUGCGCAACAGAGAGAGAGACGGCAACCUUAUUAAACAAUUGUCCAUAUGUACCUGGAUGUAUGGGAAGAAUAGAAGGAAGUAUCCAAUACUCGGGAGGCAUUGGGUUGCAUCCGGACCAGUCAAACACUCCAAGUAUCUGCAUCAAAAGAAAUUGGAUCAGUUCAUAAGUCCAUGCGCACGCAUAGACACAUACAUGCAUGUGUGUUACGUAUCAUAUAAUACUUUACGUAUGUAUAUAUGAUAUACAUAGAAGAAUGCUCUCUUGGCAGAAAAUACUUACAUUAUGUAUAAAUGUCGAACUCUUAAUUUGGACCACACUUUCAAAUAAGAAUACAUUUGAUUAAUGAUAUUGACAUUCAUAGUUAGUUUGAUUACAAUCUACAAUAUUUGGUAUGUUGUCGUUUGGCCACAAAUUUUCACAAAAAAAUUGGAGAUAUUUUGUGUGCUAAAUUCUAGACACAACCACAACAAAACCCAAAUCCACUCUGAACUAUGUGGUUUGACCCCCCCCCCCCCCCAAAAAAAAGAAAAAGAAAAAGAAACUCCAAAUCCACCAAAUUCAACCCAAACAUAAUCCCUGACUCGCUCGUGACCAAAUUGAACCGAAACAGAAUCCCUAGCUCACCAAAUUUGGUCAAACACCACAAGCACCAUAACCAAAUGGCCAGCAUCAACAUACAAUUGAACUACGAGUUGACUUGAUUCAAAUCAAAAGAGAUACGUAGGCAACUUGGGAUUUAUUCCAAGUGCAGCUACAAAACAAACACAACCACCAUUCACCUCAAAUGGCGGUGGAAUUUCCGUCAACAACUACAGUUAAAAAGAACUGAGAAUAAUGUAUAAACACUAUAGAUUAGUAUGAGAUACUAAACUUUCUUUUCGAAUAAAUUACUGUAUAACUUGUGUACUUGAAAAAGGCCACACUACCGAAAGCCAAAUCUUUCCCCAAGAAAGUAUAUUGGUUACACCGCCAUGGUCAAGAAUCCACUUUCUUCCUCUAGCCAUGCCGUUGUCUUCACCUGCAUCUGGUCCUUCUCCAAGCAAACGCAAACACACAUAGUUGAAAGCCGUACCGAACAUGCUGCUAUGGCAACCCACGGCUAAUCCCCAUCCACCAUCUUUGUUCUACACACAUAUAUAAAAACUCGUUAUUCAAGUAGCAUACAGAUCUUGGACUAGCUGAUCAUUAAUGACAGAAAAAAAAAGGAGAAAAUUUCAAACAAUAUAAUAAGUAUAUGUGUGUAUAUAUGAACCUGAUGAUUGUAUAUGCAACGCUUAACUUCUUUUCGAUGUUCUGCAGAUAAUACAACAUUAAGAUGUCCAGUGAUGUACAGACACAUGACCUGUAAGAAGAAAGAAAAAUUGUAGUAUUUAGAAAUAUUGCAUAAUGAUCCACUAAUGAGAGCUCAAGUUUAUGAAAAAGAAAAGAAUUGAUAAUGAGGAUAUAUAUGUGUGUGUGUGUGUGUGUGUGUGUGUGUGUAUUUGUGGUGAAUUUGAAUUACCAGAGUAGGUGUGUAAAACAAUGGGCCAGAAAAUUCAGCAGGCCAAUGUCCGUGGCUUGAUUGCAAGGCUGCAGUGAAACGGACAGCCCUCUUCAAUGCUGCUGUCGCAGUUUCAUGUGUGAUUUCCUCACCUUCCUGGAUCUUCAAUGGAGGAAUCGUUUGCUUGAAAUUUUUCUCUCUUAAACACUGCAUUAGUUAGUUGUAAGAAAAUGCCUUUAAAAUUAGCAAGAAUAAGGGUUGUGACUCAUGGUAGCUGGAGGCUGUGAGGGUUGGAGCUUAUUUAAUUAUCAUGCUCCUAAAUAGUGACAAAUAUUCAGGCUCCGCCACUGAUGUUUCUUUUAUCUUUUACUUGGCUAGCUAGAAUUAUCAUGAUAAGUCUAAUAUUUGAGCCAAAUUAUGCACCUGCAUUCUCCACAGUAAGUCACUGCUAGGUUUGACCUGGAAUCGGUUUUGGUGGUAAUUUUGACGAGCCUCUUCAAUCUCAGCACGCUCUUGAGGAGUACCUGCAUGGGGGUCAAACUCCCAUGUCUGCCUCCCCGUGAAGUUGUUUGUGCUGAACAAAAAUGGAUCAUUUUCACCCUCCCCAAUUUUCAGCCUCCACAUUUUCUUCCUUUGUUCUCCAAUGCAUGCAAACAAACAACUAUAUACACAUACAAUCUCUACAACAAAAGAGAGGGCAGAAGUCACUGUCUUUUUCAAACGCAACCAAUUGCAGUCAAUGAAACUUAUUAUGCACGACAUGAUAAAAUGAUUUAGAUAGCCUUGUCGUACUAGUACUAGCAUACGACAGAGCCUCAGGAUACUUAUGCACAUCAUUUUUCACUUUUUGAACAAGAAUGACUUACGAAAGAGACUUGGCUGCUGAAAAAUCAGCACAAGUCAGUGAUUCGCUCUCAACAGGAAGGGCUGCUGAUUCUUUGACUUAGAUGGAAUGAGUUCACCCCCACCACAAUGUUACAAUUCAAUUUCGUUUCACGUGUCAUCGUUAGAAAAUGGCAUAUAAAAAAUAAUAAGUGGGAGAUUCACUGUUAAUAUUCUUGUAGUGCUUACUCUUUUAAGGAUUCUUUCAACAUUGUUGUGGAGCCAAAAAUAAUCAAGAGACAACAUGUGGAUUGUAGGGUGAAAGGACAAAAUUACCCUCAAUGACCACCGGAAUUCCUACGCGCGAGCAGUGGACAAUCAUCCCACAAUCAAGUCAAAUGUGGCCAAAAUAGGUAUUUAUUCAAAAUCUAUUUCAUCCAUCCUCAUCAAAUCUUCUCCACAAGGUAACCCCCAAAGCAUUCAUUUCAAAUCAUAUUAAUUAGCUAAUUAAUUGAUUUAUUACCUAAUUAAUCUAUUGAUUGGCUAAUUAACUACCAAUUUCACCCAAAAAUGCCACAAAGAGCCGGUUACCAUCUCUCCAAAGGGGGCCGGCCAUGCCCUAUAUAUAAUAUCCCAUUUUCUCUAAAAACCUAAGUUCUACAUUUUUGUUAAAUUCUCCAAAUUCUCCAUACACUUUUCCCUCAAAAUUCUAACUUUGACAUCGGAGGUUCUUCAACCAAAGCCCUCCCCCCCCAAAAAAAAUUCAUUGUGGGUGCGUGAGGCUAUUGGCCUUAACCUAAGGUGUUGUUUUUUUUGUAGGUGCAAUUUUGUCCAAGAACAAGGAGGAAGAAAUUUGCAUCCACAAAUUGGUGUUUCAUUGAGAGUUGAGUCACACACUCAUAGAAGACUUUCGCAUCUAAGGUUUUUUGUUUCUUUGCUUAUUUGUAGAUUUUUCGUAUGUUCUUAUUCUUGGAAUUUUUAUUUCUAAAAAUUCUUUGAUAAAAUGUAAAAGAAAAGUACAAUGGCAAGAGAUUCAAAAACCUCGACAAACGGAAAUUUCAACGUUCAAGAAGGCUCAACAUAGUGGUGAGUGGAGCGACACCCCCACGAGACACUACCAUGGCAACCACCACGGCAGCCACACUUGGCAAAACCCACCGCUCCAAAGCCACGGCCUAAGCCGUGCCAUUUCAACCUUCAAGGGCCCAAGCCUUAGCCGAGCCGGCCCAUGUUGCCCAAAUCCAACAUGAGCCCAAUGCGUUGCCAAACCAAGCCCUAGCCUCACACCCACGUGCACCACACGCCGAGCAGCCCACUUUCGUGGCCUAGCUUGCUCUAGCGGCCCAGCCUGCUCCCGUGGCAUUCAAAGCAACCCAAAUCGGUCCAAGAUUAGGUCAACCGCCCCAACUUCAAAUUUUUGGGCCUACGGUUGAACCGCGGGCAUUUUCACUAUAUUUCUCUACGAAUUUGACAUUUCCCAACUCAAAUCUCGCUCACAAAGUCCACCACACUUCCACAUCUCAAUGAGACGUAUUCCUUUCAAGCUCUUUCAAUCCAUAUGGAGAACUACACUUGUCUCGACAAGUCAUAGAAUUGACGAGCGUCCUUGCACAACAGACAACCUUGGUGAAAGCUUUUGCAUCGCACCGAGAUGCAAUGUGCCCCAAACAAGGUGUCCCGAAGUAGGACAAGGGCAGAUGAAUAACAUCUCCAGCAGCGUCCUGGUAAGCAGCCACUCAACCAGCCAUGAACUGAACAUUCAGGCAGUGUACACUCCCAAUUAGGCCCCCGAGAUAGCAUAUACUCCCAUCUUAGCGUGUGGAUAAGCGUGCACUCUUGGUCAAGCCCACGGACGAGUAUAUACUCACAGUUAGGGUCACACUCUAAUAAUCAAAAUGAGCAACCUUCCAGGCAAAGUGUUCAUUCGCGACUAAGCCCGUAAUAAGUAUCAUCCACCUCACAUCAGAGUCAGCAGCACAACGAACGGAGAGAAGCAGUCACUCAAUCCAGCUUAAGUUUAACCAUUAGCCUGUGAAGAACUCGCUCGCCUGCUAGGAACACACCACAUGCACCGUAGCCACGGCAUAGAUGAGCCAAACAAAUGGAAGAGCAGCCUAGACCAGCAGGUCACGAUUGGGGGCAGCCGAGAGUUCCACUACCCCCAACAAAGGCGAAUUCAGGAAGAAGUAGAGAGGCUUCUGACCAAGCAAUUGCACGAUUUCCUAUGCAACGAGGUCAUUAACGAGACACUACGACAGGACAUGACCAACAUAAGCAGGUUACCCUUCACUGGCUAGAUUGAGCAGGUAGAAUUUUCAUGCAAGUUCAGCAUGCCACAUUUCACAUCCUUCAAAAUGGAUAGAAACCUGGAGAGACACCUAAAGCACUAUUGAAGCACAAUGAUCCUUUAUCGAAACAACGACGAUCUCAUGUGCAAGACAUUCGCUACCACUCUACAAGGUAAGGCGCAAGAUUGGUUCUACAUCCUGCCGUCACAAUCCAUCUGGAGUUUCGACGAAUUUUCUUUGAUUUUUACCAAAGAAUAUUCAUCAUAUUGCUUGAUUAAGAAAAAGUCCUACCACUUGUUCAACGUCAAGAAGUACCCAAAGGAGUCGCUUCACGACUAUGUGAAGAGGUUCAAAGCAGAGAAGGUAAAGAUAGUCAGAUGCAAUGACUCGAUAGCUAGAGCAGCCUUCCAAAAAGGACUCCCAACAGACCACCCGCUGUUCAGAGAAUUGAUCAUGAAAGAAUUUCUAACUCUAGCAUACUCUUUCGCUAUAGCAGAGAAACAUGCACUUUGGGACAAGGUUCGCCGAUGCAAAUUCAAGGCAAAUCCAAGCGAUCUUGAAUAUGAAGUCUACCACUACUCCGAAGGAGAUUCAAGGUCUGACUGGACGAGCAACCACAUCUGAAGUAGCAAUAAGCUCUACCAUCAUACGAGAAGAGUUAGGGGCCCGACUACCUGUAUUUCACAGUUCAAAAGCUCUCCUCGAUGCUACCAGAAAUUCAAAAGCUAACUUUGGCAAUAGUUGUUACAACUCGGAAGCUCAAGUUUUACCUUCAGACGCACGCAGUCAUCCUUAUGAUGUGCUAUUUCGCUCAAUUCAGAUGCGCGAUGAUAAAGGCGUAGACACUGGUGGAUGCAAAGUUUUCUGACGAACGCAACAAGUCGGCCUAAAAGGCGCGCCAAGGGUAGCCGAACACUAGAAGAACGCACUCGGAAAUAGGUUUUGUCCUCAUCGUCCCAAAAGAUUAUACAUAAGAGCAACAUGUACCGGCAGUUGAACACCACCUUCUGCUACGUAUCACAGGGCCCCAGCCGACCCUUGCUCGAUAAUUCAACUCUAAAGUGGCCAAAUACCAGUAGUUGAGCAUCUCCCACUGCGUGUAACAUGGCCCCAGCUUCAUAGCUUCUUACCACGCAUUCACAACACAACAGGGUGACCCAACAACGGCUUCACAGCUCCCUACUGCGCCUUAACGUCGAGCCUAGGCGACGUAACAAAGUGGCCAAAAAACGCCCUGGAGGUAGCCGAGCACGCCCUAGCCGCGCUUACUCCACCCAAUGGAAACUUCUGGCAUUUGCAUGUCAACGACGCAUCUAACUACAAAGGUUCGGGAGCAGACGUGGUCCUUGUCACCUUAAAUGGUUCAAUGCCCGAAUAGGCGAUCACUCUAGGUUUCAAAGCAUCCAACAACGAAGCAGAGUACGAGGCACUACUAGCAGACAUCUGAAUGGUAAAAGACUUGGCGAUGAAAAAGCUCGUAAUUCAUUCUUAUUCCCAGUUAAUCAUUAGCCAAACUACUUGAAGCGUUUCAGACUUACACCCUCACUCAAGUUUCGUGGGCAGACAACGCUCACAUGGAUGCACUAGCAAGCCUAGGCUCCACCCUCGACCACCAACUCAAACGCUCUAUUCCGGUGAAGUAUCUAGACAAGCCAAGCAUAGAGACGGAGCCACUAGCCGAGGUGUCACAGGUUAGUACAACUUCAAAUUGGCAAGAUUCCAUUAUAGACUACCUGGUCAAUGGCACACUCCCCAUGGAAAGAUUAAAGUCUAGAAAGCACCAAAUAAAGGCAGCACGCUACUGUAUGUAGAACGACAUUCUCGUCCGAAGAUCCUACACUAGACCACAUCCGGUGCCUAGCGCCUCCAGACUACCUAAAGGUUCUAAGCUCAAUCCAUGAAGGCAUUUGUGGAAAUCACUCAGAAGGCCACUCCUUAGCACAUAAGGCUCUAAACGCAGGACUAGACUACCAUGCACCAAGACGCUAAGGAGUUAGUACAAAUGUACGACCGCAGCCAACGCUACAAGUCGUUACCAGCACUGCCUGCCAGUAAAUUACACUCGCAGACGAGUUAUUGGGCGUUCAUGCAGUGAUCAAUCGACUUGGUAGAGCCAAUGCCGCUCGCUACUGUGGGCAAAUGCAUGACGAUCGUGACAACCGAUUACUUCACUAAAUGGGUAGAAGCAGAACCCAUGAAUACCACAACAUAAACGGACAUAGAGCGCUUCAUAUGGAGGAACAUCAUUUACCGAUUUAGCAUCCCUCAAUCCAUCGUCAUCGAUAACGGCCCACAGUUUGUGGGCCAAGAUCUAGCGAAGUUCUUCCAAAAGUAUGGCAUCAAGAAACACAUGUCCACCCCGAGAUAUCCUCAAGGCAAUAGGCAGGCCAAAGCAUCCAACAAGACGAUCAUCGAUUGCCUCAAGAAAUCCUUUUCCGACAAGAAGGGAAAAUGGCCAAACAAACUCCCCGGAUGUCUAUGGGCAUAUCGCACCACCAAAAGACGAGCAACCGAACAGUAAGAAGAUGGCCAUAAGCAUAGAUCUAGCAAAGGAGAAGCGCAAGCAGACCAUCACCUGCAUCAUAGCCUACCAGUAGCAGCUCAUCUCCAACUACAACAAAAGGGGUAAAAUCUGACAGUUUCAACCCAUAGAUCUAGUUCUAAGAAAAGCCUUCAUCACUGCCCAUAGAGAAGGCUCCAAAAAGAUGGAUCUCAUCUGGGAAGGUCCAUAUAAGAUCAGCAGAAUAGGUGGCAAGGGUAAUUACACCCUUGCCACCAUAAACGACAAAGAGAUCGAAAAGCAAUGGAACGCCUACAAUUUGAGAAAGUACCAUGUGUGACCUCCCGCUACAUCAAAGCCCGAAGACUCAAGCAGCUUAACGGGCACCACCUCACAAGCCAAGGAUUAUCCAGUUGUUAUGUAGUUCCUACCUUACAACUAAGUUCUCGUUCAUUUUAAUCAUUUUUCAAUGAGGAAUUCAUAACUACUCUACAACUUGAUUCGGCUGCAUGCUUAUAACAAAUGAUCACUUCUGCACUUCAAAAGAAGAUCGCGCCCUUCUUAAGGACUCAUCGCAUGAAUUGCACCUCCUCUGAAAGACCAACCAUGCUCUCAUAAUUGCUCUCCAGUGCAAGAGGGUAAACGAAUUCCCCCACACCUACAUGGGUUUGCUCUCCAAUGCGGGAAGAUAAACUUUACACUCUGAAUAUCCAGACGUGGAUAAGUCGGGCUGCCAUGGUAUAACUAGAUGCAUGAUGGCUUGCACCGGGAUUCCUAAAAGUAGCCAUAAUGGUCUUUUUCAAGGCUUAGCUAACUGAAGAAUUUUGGGUCUCUUUGCCUAAUUCGUGGGGAACAGGGCCUCAAAGACGGAGAAGGCACAUUACGCAGUACGCCACAUGGAUGUUUACCCCUAGAACCCUAAAACUGCUACCGAGUGCACUAAGGUAGCCUACGGUUUCCAGAAGAUUGCCUACGGCUUGCCCUUUGAGCAGUAAAGCCACACUAGACUUAUACAACCGCACAUUCUGUGAAAGGUUAAACAAGCUAGCGUGCAUAUAUGAAGCUUUAUCCAUUGCCGACAUGUUACAUAGUCGAUAAGCUUCACCUCUGCCAAGAGUGAAACAACCUACACCAAGUCCUAAAGUGUUGUGAUACUUGCUACGCAACCUACAGAAUUGGAGAAAGCCAAGGUUAACAACCUAAUGGUUACGUGGACUUGUCUGCUUCUGUAAGUAAGGAAUCCGGCUGCCAACCCUAUAGCUAACAAAUUUGCAAAGUUCUACACCAACACAUACGACUGCAUAGACUACGCGGGCUUGUCUACUUAUGGAAAAGUAGCACACCUACCACUGGUCUAUAAAGUCUAAAGGUUAAGGCAUGAACAAAAGAAGCUAAGAUGAAGAAGAGUGAAGGAAGCAUGUCUAUAAAUGACUAGCGAAUGCCGAAUGAGUUCAAGCAAAACAAGAGCUACAAGGAAAACAAAGAAAAUCCUAAAGGCUACUUAGAAGACUACACUUCAGCAACUUGGACAUCUCAUGACCACUCGGUCGCCACACCUUCAGCAGCCGCGAAGCUUUUAGCAAUGACAUUAUCCAACGUUUCUCCUUUAGCUACCUCAGCCUGGGCACCAACUUCUCCAAUGGAAGCCUCAAAAGUAAAAGCAAGUAAGUCUUCUGGAGAAAUAAAGAAGGUCUCAAAACCUAGAACCCAACAUUUUCACCCUUCAGCUGCUCGUUUUCCUCAAGCAAACCAACAUGGACGUGCUGCAACUCAUCCACUUCCUUCUUCAUACUUUCAUUGAUCUUCAGUACGCCUUGAAGUUCCAACACUUAGGGUUCAAGCAUAUCGACGAUUCUCUUGAAGUAGAUCACUUGAUCAACUCUUCAUUCUUUGCAUAAGCAGAGAAACGAAGCUCAGAAACUACAAACUCAAGAUCUCGAAUAUGAGGUAUGUAACAUCCAAUCUCAUUCUCUGCACUUUCAUACUUAACUUAGAUCGCAUCAAGCCUAGUCUUCAAGUCAACGAUCUCUUGGUGAGCCGUCUCAAGCUACAAAGAAGUGGGGGCAGAAAUAUUAGACCCCUUCAAAGCAACGAGCUCAAAAUCCAACAUUUUUAUCCCCUCGGUCGAGGAAUAAGCUUCAGCUACCAUAGUAUUCACCAUCUCUUUGGCAGCCUUGCUAUAUCUGCAUCACAGGAAGCAGAGCAGUUCUUUUAUAUUGGGUUGUAUGUUUCGUAAAGGAACUUGGGCAAACAACCUUUCUAACGUCAUUGACAAACUUGGCACAAGCGUCCAUCUGGUUUCAAAAGCACACAGAUCUCAACAGCCUCCCCAAAGUAAGCUUAAUGAAUUUCUCAAAGGACAUAAGCCAUGCGGCUCGCCUAGCACUGCGCCUCGCAACCUCCUCAAUUCUUUCAAUUGUUGGCCUGGCCCACGUUAGGUCCAAGAGCCCAAAGGACAUAAGCCAUGCGGCUCGCCUAGCACUGUGCCCUAACGCCUCAAUCCGCGGCCCCAGGCGCAUAAGCUGCCCUUGGUUUUAGCCAAGCCAAGUAGCCCAAGCAGUGGUUUCUGCCACAACACCUCAUUAGCCUAUGCCGAGCCGACUCUUAGCCCCUGCCAGCCUACGUGCCGCACCACCCCAACGGUUGCCCUGCAACGGCAAUAUCCAACAAGAAGACGAGAAAAAAUAAAUUUUUCUUACCUUGGUGCGGCGCGGAAAAGACAAAGAAAUCAACAAAAGACGGUCCUUUGCACGGGCAAGUGUAGAAGAUUGCUAGAGGAGGGGGAACAAAUAUCAUCUAGCUCUCUCUCUUGUAAGGUAGAAUAAAUCGCUUUCCAAAGUUGAUUUAAUAACCCACUUAAGGUGGACUUAACUAGGCUUUGAGAGAAAUUUAUUUCCCUUUCCUACAAGAAUCUAAUUUCCUAAUAAAGAAGGAAUCUACAUCAAAAUAGGAAACAAGCCCAAGUUUCCUAAAGCAAGAAAAUCUCUACACAUGUUGCCCUUUUUUGCGAGCAGCCUAACAGGUGUGAGGGGAUCUGUGGAGCCAAAAAUAAUCAAGAGACGAUACGUGGAUUCUAGAGUUAAAAAGACAAAAUUACCCUCGAGGAACACCGAGAUUCCUACGCGCGAGCAGUGGACAAUCAUUCCACAAUCAAGUCAAAAGUGCCCAAAAUAGGUAUUUAUUCAAAUUAUGCACCUGCAUUCUCCACAGUAAGUCAUUGCUAGGUUUGACCUAGAAUCAGGUUUGGUGGUAAUUUUGACGAGCAUCUUCAAUCUCAGUACGCUCUUGAGGAGUACCUGCAUGGGGGUCAAACUCCCAUGUCUGCCUCCUCGUGAAGUUGUUUGUGCUGAAUAAAAAUGGGUCAUUUUCACCCUUCCCAAUUUUCAGCCUCCACAUUUUCUUCCUGUGUUCUCCAAUGCAUGCAAACAAACAACUAUAUACAAAUACGAUCUCUACAACAAAAGAGGGUAAAAGUCACUGUCUUUUUCAAACGCAACCAAUGGCAGUCAAUGAAACUUAUUAUGCACGACAUGAUAAAAUGAUUUAGAUAGCCUUGUCGUACUAGUACUAGUAUACGACAGAGCCUCAGGUUACUUAUGGACAUCAUUUUUCACUUUUUGAACAAGAAUGACUUACGAAAGAGUGAUUUUAAAUCCAUGACUUAGAUGGAAUGAGUUCACCUCCACCGCAAUGUUACAAUUCAAUUUAUUUUUACGUGUCAUCAUUAGAAAAUGGCAUAUAACAAAAUAAUAUGUGGGAGAUUCACUAUUAAUAUUCUUGUAGUGCUUACUCUUUUAAGGAUUCUUUCAACAUUGUUGUGGAGCCAAAAAUAAUCAAGAGACGACACGUGAAUUCUAUAGUGAAAAUGACAAAAUUACUCUCGAGGAACAUCGGAAUUCCUACGUGCGAGCAGUGGACAAUCAUCCCACAAUCAAGUCAAAAGUGCCAAAAAUAGGUAUUUAUUCAAAACCUAUUUCAUCCAUCCUCAUCAAAUCUUCUUCACAAGGUAACCCCCAAAAUAUUCCUUUCAAAUUAUGUUAAUUAGCUAAUUAAUUGAUUUAUUACCUAAUUAAUCUAUUAAUUGGCUAAUUAACUACCAAUUACGCCAAAAAAUGCCACAAGGGGCCAGUUACCAUCUCUCCAAAGGGGGGCGGCAUAUACUACCCCAUUUUCUCUAAAAACCUAAGUUCUACACUUUUGCUAAAUUCUUCAAAUUCUCCAAACAUUUUUCCCUCAAAAUUUUAACUUUGGCAUCGGAGGUUCUUCGGCCAAAGUCCACCCUCCCCCCCUCCAAUUCAUCGUGGGUGCGUGAGGCUCUUGCCCUUGACUUAAUGUAUUGUUUGUUUUGUAGGUGCAAUUUUGUCCAAGAACAAGAAUGAAGAAAUUUGCAUCCACAAUUGUCUCUAUAUCCAUAAAAUUCUUGAAAUAUUUUCGAUAGUAAGAUUAUACAUUAUGGUUUGAUCAUCUUUUUUAAUAUAUCCCUAUAUAGAUUUUCAUUUUUAUAUUAUUUUCAAAGAUAUAUGGCUCAUUUGGAAAUGCUUUUAAAAUAACUUAGACCCUUUUUGGAGAAAAUAUUUUCGGUUUUUUCAAGAAUUACUUGCAUUUUCAUUAAGAAUCAAUUCCAAAAACAUUUACACCAAAAAUGCUUUUAUCCAUUUUAUAAAACAUUUCCAAACGAGCUCAUAAAGUUUCAUUUACUAAUAGGUUCGAACUCCGUGGGCUCUCUAAUUUAACAAACUUAUCGUUUGACAAAAAAAAAAUGAAUACGUCAUUUUUGGGACAAAGAACAAACAGUAUCCGUUACUCACUUGAAUGGAUAAUUAUGUGUGCAAGUAACCAAUUGCGUGUAACCACUGGAACGGAUUUAUGUAUCCAAUCACCCAAGCACCCAAUAAAUGUGUCCAUUUAUGUGAUUGGAUUGUCUUUGGGAAAAAAAAAUAUGAAUGGUUUCUCAGAAAAAAUUGUUUCUCUAUUUAGUAAGAUGGAGAUGAGUGCAGACAACAGCUUAAUUAAUUUUCUGUUAAGCUUUAGUCUUCAUUCAGAUAAGAUAAUAUGCUAUAUUUCUUUGACCAACUUCACAGGAUAGCUCAAUCUGUUACUCCUUGUGAAAGAUGGGUUCAAUCCAUUCCAAUUUUUGCAGAAUUUUAACAACUCGAAUGGGUUUAAGCAUUGCUCGAAAGGGACUCGAAGGGUUCUAAACCAUGAGAAAAAAAUGGUCAAGUCUGUUUGGGUCUAUGCGUGGCUAAGGGUUUUGUGUGUGAAACACACCGUUUUAAAAGGCAAAGGUGUAGGCGAGCGUUUCAUGAAUAGACCUUCCUCAGCGAAAGCCUUGUGGUGUGACCUAGUAUUUCUUGUUAGAAGAAGGGUUUAGUUUUCCAAAUAUCCCCUUUCUUAAGUUUCCAAAAAAUUGACUUUUUGAUAACUUGUUGAUAAUAGAAAUUUAGAAAAUGACAGCCAAGCAGGCUCCUAUGGUAGUAGAAGAAGGGUUUAGUUUUUCAAAUAUCUCCUUUCUAAAGUUUCCAACAAAAGACUGACUUGUUGAAUAAUAGAAAAUUGUCGCUCUUAAGUUUCCAAAAAAAUACUUUUUGAUAACUUGUUGAAUAAUAGAAAAUGACAGUUUUAUACUACAUAUUUUAUCCAAUUCUUAGUUAUAAUUUAUUGGUUAUUUUGUGAGAAUUAUGAUAUUUUGAAUUGAAUUUUUAAUAUAAGAUUUUCUACUUUCUCUGGGAAAAAAAUGUGAUCAAAUGGAUGAAUUUUGGAGUAAUUCCAAUUAGAGGACGUCUGUGAGUCGCUUAGCUUGAUCAUGUCAAAACAUCAUAUUUUUCUACCAAAAGAUUAUUUUCUGGCGAUUAAAUAAAAGAGCAAUGAGUGAUGUUAGAAAGUGACUUUAUGGCUUAAUUGUAAUUUUUGGAGUCCAAGAUGACCACUUUUGGGUUUGGGCCUUUCUGGAGAAGUGUUCAGAUUAUUCCAAGCUUCAAAAUGAGUUAUCAUAGGCCAGAUUUGGAGGAGAUUUGGAUCCAAAAUGUGACUGUGAAGAUUAUGGGCAGAUUUCAUCAGUUUGGGACUAUGUUUCCUAGUUUAUUUUAAUUUAUUUAGUUUCCUAGUUUUAUUAUAAAACUUUUUCUAGGAAUGAUUUUAUUUUCUAGCAAUAUAAAUAAGGAUAUUUAGCCAUUAGGGUUAAGAACGCAUCAAUUUGGAGAACUUGGCUAGGCUUUGACGAUUUGUAUUCUUCUUUCAAUGUAUUUUCUAUCCUUUUUCUAAUUUCAAUAAAAUUCCUUUUGUUUUAUGAUUGUUUGUAACUAAUUUUUCUUUGCUAGGGCGAGGCCACGAGUCUUAGCAUGAAUAUGUAGUCUUUAUUCAAUUGCUUAUGAUGUUAUGCACGCUUACUUUCAAUUGUUAAUCACUUUGUUUAAACUGUCUCUAUUUCUUAAUGCUUAGCUACCAUUAUUAUGUUUAGAUAAGUAAUUGAAUGCAAUUCAGUCGAAAUAUCACCGGAGGAUUGAGUAUUGCUUCUUGUGAUUGAUAAUUGUAAUUUCACCUAAGGUGAAUAUCACGCUCUUAGGGGUUGCAUGGUUUUUCAAAAGGUUUUCACAGAACUUAAUGAGUCUUGCAUUGUAACAUCCCACAUCGCCCCGAGAAGUGGAUCAUGUAAGCCUUAUAUGUAUAUUCCCAUUUAUACCUAGCACAAGGCCUUUUGGGAGCUCACUGGCUUCGAGUUCCAUCGGAACUUCGAAGUUAAGCGAGUUCGCGCGAGAGCAAUCCCAUGAUGGGUGACCCACUGGGAAGUUCUCGUGUGAGUUCCCAGAAACAAAACCGUGAGGGCGUGGUCGGGGCCCAAAGUGGACAAUAUCGUGCUACGGUGGAGUCGAGCCCGGGAUGUGGUGAUGGCUCGGGCCAGGAUAUAACAAUUUGGUAUCAUAGCCAAUCCCUGGCCGGACCAUCUCUACCUAGCACGAGGCAUUUUGGGAGCUCACUGGCUUCAAGUUUCAUCGAAACUCCGAAGUUAAGCGAAUUCACGCGAGAGCAAUCCCAUGAUGGGUGACCCACUGGGAAGUUCUCGUGUGAGUUCCCAGAAACAAAAUCGUGAGCGCGUGAUCGGGGCCCAAAGCAAACAAUAUCGUGCUACGGCGGAGUCUAGCUCGAGAUGUGGUGGGGUCCCGGGCCGGGAUGUGACAUGCAUGCUUACAUUUAAUUGAAGUAUUAUUGAUGGAUUGCAUGUUAGAUAUACGUUCUUACUUCAAUAUCACAAGGAAGAUAUGCAUUAGGAAAACCUAACAUUCAAAGUUGCAUGUGUAAUUAAUAUGUAAUUAGUAAAAUUACGUAGGAUUGUUAAGGUGACGGCCGAACCCUAGGCUUUUACAAUUUGGUUUUCAAAACAUUUUCUUUUGUUUUGUUUACUUUGCUAAUCUAUUUAAUCAUUUUAAUUAAAUUCGUUUUUAAUAUUUUAGGUCAUAAAAUCAACCUUUUCCAAACUUUAUUUUCAAAUAAUUAAUUAAGAUUUGAUUUUUACAUAAAUUAUUCAUUCAAUCCAUGUGGAGAACGACCUUACUAGAGCUGACUAUACUACGAUUACCUUGUACUCUUACAAGUAUUUUUUCGUGUUUUUAUCCUUACUUUUGCAUGUGGUAAAGAUCCUAUCAAAAAAUUGGCUUCGUUGCCGAGAAUUGUUUUAAAUAAUUUGUGUUUAUCAUAUUCUUAGUUACUUACUUUUGUCCCUGACUUUUAUUUACUUGAUUUUUUUUUUAGGCUACAACUUGUUGAUUUUGAUAGCAGUGCAACAAUGGAAUGUGUACCCUCUCUGGAUUCGAUGUACAACUAGGACGAUCACCUUUAUGGGUCAGAUUUGUAGAAUGGGGUUUUAUGGAAUUAAACCUACAAUUUGUGCACUUUGCUGUUUGAACACCCAUGAUAUUUUGCAGUGCCCUGAAAAUGAAUAUUUUCUUGAGUUUGUGUGACAUCCCACAUCGCCUAUGAGAGUGACCCUUAAAUGUAUAUUCUUUUCCCUACCUAGCAUGAGGUCUUUUGGGAGCUCACUGGCUUCAGGUUCCGAAGGAACUCCGAAGUUAAGCGAGAAGGUAGCCAAAGCACUCCUAGGAUUGGUGACCCACUGGGAAGUUGCUCAUGAGUUCCCAGAAACAAAACCGUGAGGGAAUGGUAAGCCCAAAGAGAACAAUAUCGUGCUACGGUGGUGGAACGGGCCCGGGAAGUGGUCUGCCCCGGGCCCGGAUGUGACAAAUGGUAUCAGAGCCAAUUCCUGGCCGGAAGUGUGCCGACGAGGACGUCGGGCCCCUAAGGGGGUGGAUUGUGACAUCCCACAUCGCCUAGGAGAGUGAUCCUUAAAUGUAUAUUCUCAUCCCUACCUAGUACGAGGUCUUUUGGGAGCUCACUAGCUUCGAGUUCCGUAGGAACUUCGAAGUUAAGCGAGAAGGUGGCCAGAGCACUCCCAAGAUGGGUGACCCACUGGGAAGUUGCUCAUGAGUUUCUAGAAACAAAACUGUGAGGGAAUGGUAAGCCCAAAGCGGACAAUAUCGUGCUACGGUGGUGGAACGGUCCCAGGAAGUGGUCCGCCCCGGGCCGGGUUGUGAGAGUUUGUCCAGAAGCAUAUCAAUAUGAGAAUCGACUCAAAAAGGCAUUGGAAAAAUCCCUAUUCAAAAUUCUACACUCCAAGUUUGAAAAAGUGUCAUGAGCAGUAUUUUAAGCAGCCUAAUGUGCCACACAAGCUUUCGGUAGAGGACAAACUCUCUAAAUUGUUGGAAUCAACUUAGUUGUAUUUUGAAAUAACCAAUCAAGGAUUUCAUAUUCAAGCAUUAAACUGUGGGAAAAACUAUGAUUGUGAAAUCCCGUUCUUGGAUUUCACUAUUGUAAUUUACAUAUUUCGUAUUCACGGUAUUUUAUAGUAUUUUCGUGAAUAUAAAUUAAUUUUUUAUUUUAAUUACUUAAGUACAAAGUUUGAAUUUUUUAAAAAUAAUUAUUUAUAAUCCGUAGACUUUCGAGGGUCAUUCUUAAUGUUUUCAAAUUGAGCUCGAUACCACAAGUGCGUAAGCGAAGGCUGUUCGUGAAUUGAGACGAGGAAGGAGAAGUUACGGACGUUAGAAGUUUCUUAAAUAAAAUAAGAAUUUAAUAUUUUUGGGGUUCCCAUUACUUUGGAAAGGGACCAAUUAGAAAAGAAAAGAAAAAAAAAGAUUAGAAGCUGCCAAAUGGAAGCAAGAGAUGGGGGAAAUGAGAGUUGUGGGAAAGAAAUGAGGGGGGAAAGACCAUUCAGAAAGGGAAAGAAUGAGGGAAAAUGAGGGAGAGGAGUGUAGACAUCGAAAUUUCGGUAAAUAAAUGUUGACCGAUAAAUCAAAGUUUCAACGCUCAUAUAUUACAUAAAUUUUACACGUAGCGUGUGUCUAAACAAAAAAAUCAAAAUAAGUUGAAAAAGUCAUCAAACAGGACACGUGUCAACACCUGGCAAAAACGACUUAUUUCAUCUGGAAUAUUAUAUUCAAAAUUAGGCCUUGGAAAUUUCUAUAAAUAGAAGGCUAAUUCAUUCAUUUAGAGGGACCAAAAUCAUUAGGCAAAAUUCUUGAAGUUCUGAAGCUCUGAAACUCCGAAGCUCUCAAGCAUCCAGGUUCCCGAAGAAUCAAGAAAGCUCUCUUCGUUAUUCGUUCAUCAUUCUUCCAAGAUCAAGCCCCAACGGCCCUUUGGAUCAACAAUCGUCCACCAAUUCAAGAUCAAGCCCCGACGGCCCUCGAAGAAAGUGUUCUUCGUUCUUCGUUCAUCGUUCUUCCAAGAUCAAGCCCCAACGGCCCUUUACACCAACAAUCAUCCACCAAUUCAAGAUCAAGCAUCAACGGCCCUUGAAGAAACACUCAUCCUCAAGAUCAAGCCCCAACGGCUCCUUGAAGAUUCGCUCAAAUCCACCUUCAAAGAUCAAGCCCACGGCCCUUGAAGAAACUUCCAACAGUUCAUCCAAAAUCAAGCCUCGACGGCCCUUGGAUCAACGAAACAUCCACAAAUCAACACCUUACGAAGAUCGAAUCAGAGGAUCAAAAUAGAGAGAGAUUGUAACCCAAAAUCAUCAAAUACAAAUAUUAUUUUGUGCACGUUGUUCUUGUUUCUUUCGUUUCAGGAAAAUUUCGUGUUUACAAAUUUGGCAUGCCCAGUGGGACCAUCUCUACCUCUCAUCUCUUUCUCCGUUUAAGGAAUCCAAACACACCUCAAAGUCAAUGGCAUCAAGCAAGGGACAAGCCGUUCUCGCAACCACUGAGGGAAGGAUCCUAAGCACUUCUGCCGCAAACGGACAAUCCAUUGGCGCCACAACCGCUCCUCAACAUGCCACUUCAAAGUUGGUGCCGCUAAAAGAGCAAGGAGAGCAUCAAAGGUACGAGUUUGUCAUCAACCUGACCUCGCUGAGAGCACCGAAGCAUGCUGCUGAGGCACACAAGAUGACAUCCCAAAACAGCCAACGACGUUCUUCGUCAGCAUCCUGGAUGUCUAAAGGAAAGUCACAUCUAUUGGUUGCACAAGUCAUGACCAUCGGCGUUACCUCCAUCGAAGAACAACUGGCUUAAAUGAAUGAAGCGAUUGCAAGGCUAACACGGAUUGUGGAAGAAAAAGACUUGCAAAUCGCUGCACUCGUCAGCCGACUGGAGCCACAGGACGGCGAGAACCCCAACCCAGAAGAUGAUCCACUAAAAAAAGGAGCUAGCGAAGAAGAUGAGCCUCCGAUGGAGAGAAUCGAUGCGAAGCUGGAGCCAGACCAAGCAGCGGCACUCAUGGGAUCUCUUUCUAUCCAGCAGCUGCAGGAGAUGAUCACCAACACCAUCAAGGCACAGUAUGAAGGGAGCUCACAUACCUCCUUGUUCUACUCGAAGCCCUACUCCAAGAAGAUUGAUGCCCUGAAGAUGCCAAGGGGUUAUCAACCACCAAAGUUCAUGCAGUUUGAUGGAAAAGGAAACCCAAAGCAGCACGUUGCACAUUUCGUCGAAACUUGCAACAACGCAGGGACCGAAGGGGACUACCUCGCCAAACAGUUUGUGCGCUCGCUGAAAGGAAACGCCUUUGAAUGGCACACGGACCUAGAGCCUGAGUCCAUCAACAACUGGGAGCAAUUGGAAAGAGAAUUCCUCAACCGCUUCUAUAGCACCCGCCGCACUGUGAGCAUGCUAGAGCUAACGAGUACAAAGCAGUGGAAGGACGAGCCAGUCAUUGACUACAUCAACAAAUGGCGCACUCUAAGCCUCGACUGUAAAGACAGGCUCUCGGAAACCUCUUCAAUCGAGAUGUGCAUCCAAGGCAUGCAAUGGGGUUUGCAAUACAUCCUUCAAGGCAUUAAACCACGGACCUUCGAGGAAUUGGCCACUCGCGCCCAUGACAUGGAGUUGAGCAUCGCCCAUCAUGGGAAGAAGGAACCGAUCGUCGACUACAAGAACGACAAAGUUCUUGAGACAAAGGUGGAGAAGGCUGCAUGGAAACCCACCAAGGAAGCGAUGACGGUCAACACAUCUCCCGUCAAAAUCUCCACACGAGGCAAGGCGAUUCAAACCGAAGCUUUUCGUGAUCAAGAGAUGCGUAGACGCACUUUGAAAGAGCUUGAGGAGAAGACUUAUCCAUUCCCCGACUCUGAUGUGGUUGCCAUGCUGGAUGACCUGUUGGACAAGAAGGUGAUCGGUUUGCCUGAGUGCAGACGGCCGGAAGAGAUGAAUCGUACCGACAAUCCAAGAUACUGUAAAUUCCACCGCUUCAUCAAUCAUCUAACAGAAAAAUGCUUCAUGCUGAAAGAUCUCAUCAUGAAGCUGGCUCAGAAAGGAAUCAUCGAGCUAGAUCUUGACGAUGUGGUGAAGUCAAACUAUACCACCAUCACUUAUGGCUCUUUCAACACAAAAUCUUCACCUCAACCGCUGGGGGCAUCCUCUAAGACAAGCAAAGUUGAAGGAUGGACUCAAGUCACUCCUAAGAAAUUGCACAAGAAGCAUACGUCUCCUCCACAAGUCCGCCAAUAGGAAAGGGGGCAAAGCAGCUCUUGUCAACCUUCAAAGCAACGUGAAUGUGUUGAAGAUGAUGAAAUUUCGACACAUAGAUCGUCCAUCCCCAUCACGAUGAGCGACUUCUUGCCCGAAGACUUCUUCAAUCACUCGGUCAAGGCUCCUUGCUAUGAAGAUUGUGAGGAACGCCUCUCCAAAAAUUGCUUGACAAAUUCACCAAAUUCUCCUCGCCCGCACGAGUCUAAACUGCAUGGCACAAAGCUCCUGGUCUGCACGAGCAUAAAAGGCAACACCAAUGCUCCUUGUUCGCACGAGCCUAAACUGCACGAACCAAAGCUCCUUGUUCGCACGAGCCUAAAACUGCACGAACCAAAGCUCCUCGCCUACAUGAGCCUAAACUGCAUGGCACAACACUCCUGGUCCGCACGAGCAUAAAAGGCGACAACAAACGCUCUUGUCUGCACGAGCAUAAAAGGCAACACCAAACACUCCUUGCCUGCACGAGCUGAAACUGCAAAUGGCACCAAAGCUCCUGGUCUGCACGAGCAUAAAAGGCAACACCAACGCUCCUGGCCCGCAAGAGCAUAAACUGUGUACGGUAAAAUCAUCAUCAAAAUCACUGUUAAAUUCAUCACUCAUUUGAACUACGUUGUGACUUGAUCUCUUUCUUUGGAAGGGUACGUAGGCAACUCGAAUAUUCAAAAUUUAAGUUCAGUCACACCAAAAUAAGGAAUAAAGAUUUAAUUAAAAGUUUUGAUGUUAUUACAAUUUCUUUGUACAAAAAAAAAAAAGAAGAAGAAAAAAAAAAUACAUAUGCUUUAUGUAUUAAAAAAAAUAUAUAUAUAUAUGGAUCCCAAAGCAACACCAGGCCCAAUCUGCUGCAAGCCCAUCAAAAGAAGUCGUCCUGAUCCAAAAGAUACCAAAGGCAGCCCACUCAGCAGCUUUGUCGACAUCAGCAUCAUCAAAACCAAGGAAAAAAUCAUCCACAAAAAAAAUGGUUGCAAGAAAACCAUGGUGAGUAUGGCAGUUACAGGAGCAAUCAUUGGUUCUGCAAUUGGUGGAUGGAUGAACGAUGCCCUAGGCCAAAAAAAAUAAAAAAUCAAUCCUAGCAGCAAAUUUUGACUUCUUCAUUGGAGCAAUAGUAAUGACUGUUGCACCAGCUUCGUGGGGAGGUACGGGUAUGGGUACACCGUCAACGAUGACGCGGAGGACCAGAUCGAGUGCACGGGGAGGCACGGCAAAUCGUGCAGCGGCGUGGCUCUCUGCUGCUGCUCCUGCGAUCUGGUAAGCUCCGCCUCUGGAGCUCUGCUGCUGCUCAUUUGUCCAGAAUCUGGUAAGGACUAUGCCGUUCUUGUUUUGAAUGACGUAAGGUUAUGAGACAGAUCGAAGAGAUAGGGCGGCAGAGAAUCGGAGUGCGCCGAUCUCGCAAUCCUCUCCCUUUCUUUAGCCUUACGGUUACCCACCUCCAUCUUCCUCAGUCUCGUCCGACCCCUCUUUCACUCUCGGAGAUGGCAUGUCGUUCAUUUCCCAGAACAGCAGCGCCAGGUCCAAGCAGUAGCAGCAUCAACCUGUGUCGGCUCCUGAUCUGCCACAACAUCAACCAGCUAGUUCAUGUUCUCGCCACUUUCUGGUGCCAUUCGUGGGUCACAACCAGAUCCAGUCAUUUUUUUUCCUGGAGCACACCUGAUCUGCCACAACAUCAACCAGCUCCAGUUUCGAAAGAAGCAAGCCGGCCCGAGCGGAGGAGAACCGGGUCCUAGCAGCAGCGACCCGGGCAUGGCACGGCAGUUCCCACUUGCGGCUCAGCCAGAGAUCAUGAGAGCAGCCGAAGAAAGAGAGAUGUUCUCCGGUCCCUGCUGCUGUCGACUCCCCCAAGGUUCAGACGGCUGCUCCUUGUUCCUCUCUGCCCAGCGAGAGUCCCAUCCGUGAGCCCAGAUACCGCAACGUGCACCCUCGUCUCGGCCAAUAACAACGGAAAGGCAGCAGCAAAGUGGUGACAUUCGGAGACCGUAAGCCCACCGUAAUUCUCUCUCCGUCUCUCUUAGACGAACAACAAUGGUGUCGCUCACUCCAGGACCAGCUGCUCUCGCACCUCCCGUGGUAGCACCGUCGGCAGCAAGCAAGUCAUCUUCCUCCGUGCUCCUCCUUCUUCCUCCUCCAAGCUCCAAUCCCGCACCCUAUAUAUAUAUAUAUGUAUAUGUAUGUACGUAUGUAUGUAUGUAUGUAUGCAUGAAAAGGACAAAAAAAAUUUAUAAAAAAAGGGAAAAGAGGAGACAUGGUGCACCCGGCAUCGAAAGCGAAAAUAAAAAAAAUAAUUAAUAAAAUAAUAAUAAUAAUAAUAAUAAAUAAAAUAAAUAAAUAAAUAAAUAAAUAAAAUGAUGGUGUCAGCCAUCACCCUAAUAUAUAUAUAUAUAUAAUAAUAGGUGCAUGAUUAAAAAAAAAAAAAAAAAAAGGAAAUGAAGGUGGUGGUGCGUCUGGCACCAUGUGAUAAAAAUAAAAUAAAAAAAAAAGGGAAGUGGUGGGUGCAUCCAGCACCGAAAAAAAUAAAAAAAAAUGGUGGAGCAUCUAGCACCAUGAGAAACAUAUACAAAUAUAUAUAUAUAUAUAUAUAUAUAUAUAUAUAUAUAAUGCAUUUAGUAAAGUCCAUCUUUUAUUUAUUUCUCUAAAAAAAUUUCAUAAAUUCGCGUUCCGCAUGUCAUAAAAAAAAUAAUAAAUAAAUAAUAAUAAAAAAAAAGACAAAUCAAAUUUACAGGAGGGGAUCUUCAAGGUUGCUUGUGUGAAGCCUCAUCACUCGGCGGAACUCUAGGAAGAAGAGGAGCCGGAGGUUGAUCAUUUGGAGCAUCAUUACGCGGUACAGCCCCAGAAGACGAAGGCAAAUGUUGUUGGAACAAACCCACAAACCUCUGAUGAUCAAGUAAAAUCUGACCAUCAGAUUCCUGCAUCUGGUCAAUCUUCCUCUUCAUGUUUGUCGCAUAGCUAUGUGCGAGCUUAUGCAAUUGUUUAUUCUCCUGCUUGAGCCCUCUAAUCUCCUGUUUGAGACUCGUCACUUCAACCGCCAAUGAUUCAACUUGACGGGUUCGAGCAAAUAGGCGUUGGGCCAUAUUAGACACAGAACCUGCACACUGCACACUGAGAGCCAGAGAAUCCUUAACAGCCAACUCAUCAGACCGUUUGGAAAGUAGUAUGUUAUCUCUGGGAGUGACAAGGUUCCGGGCCACCACCGCAGCGGUCAUAUCAUUCUUCACCACCGAAUCCCCAACGGUAAGAGGACCAGUAGGGGAUAUGAAUGAUGGGCGCCAUAUGUUGUCUGGAGAAUAAGGGACUGCCUCUUCACCAAGGUUCAAAUCAAAACGACGGUCGGAGGGUCCAGACAUUUUCUAAGGUGUUGAAGAAAGAAGAAGUCGGACAAAAUCAAGAUCUUAGAAGUGCAAGAAAGGAGUUUUCACAAGCAAAAAUUCAAGUGUGCUUCGAAACGAACAGCGUGCCUCUAUAAAAAAACAGCACUCGACGGGAUUUCAGAGAUCGAAGAGGCGAGCUCAGAAUUCGAAGAGGCCAAUUCAAAAAUCGAAGAAGUGCUAUCUUUCUCAAAAGUUGGGCUUGCUCGGAAACCAGGGCGAUCUUCCUUUCCAGACUUGUCAGCACCCAUCGCACGCAAACUCAACUUUGCAGAAAUCACGGGCAAUUUGUUAAAGCGCCAAUCCCAGAUAUCGAAGAGGCGCCAGUCUUUUUCAGCCUCGUCAGCAUCCGUCACGAGCAAACUCAGCUUUGCGGAAAUCACGGGCAAUUUGUUAAAGCGCCAAUCCCAGAUAUCGAAGAGGCGCCAGUCUUUUUCAGCCUCGUCAGCACCCGUCACGCGCAAACUCAGCUUUGCGGAAAUCACGGGCAAUUUGUCGAAAGCGCCGAUCCCAGAUAUCUAAGAGGCGCCAGUCUUUUUCAGCCUCGUCAACACUUGUCACAUGCACACUCAGCUUGACGAAAAUUACGGACAAUUUGUCGAAGAUUUCUGAUAAAGAAUAAAUCACGUGAAGCCAUACUGAUCAACCACGCAAUGGUUGCCGACACGAGUAAAAAAAAAUAGUACCUCUACAGGUAUUAAAGAACUUCCUAUAAUUGUCCACCUUCACCCUACAUAGCAAGGCAGACAUACAAAACAUUUCUUCAUCUCCGAGAAUGCCUUCCCAACGAAGCCUCUCGAGUCACCUAGUGUUCCUUAUUCCUUGGGGUACCUCUGCAAGCCAAUGACUCCAAAGCAAAAGUAUCUCAUAUCACCAGGGUAGAAAGCAAGAGUAUCUCAUAUCAUGCGUUCUCUUUGUCCUUUCCUUUGUCCUUGUUCUUACCUACAAAGACAAGGAUAAAGAAAACAAUAUACCGGAACCUCCACUCAAACUCGGGUAAGGAACCGACUGCUUGGAACCCUUCCCUGAUUGCCUACCUAGCACUGCUCUCGAGUACUUAUCUCCCACUGCUGCUGUACUUCCAAAGAAGCUGCCACAUCUGCCUGAAGAACAGAUAAGGCAAGUGAAAAUGAUACCUUGCAGCAUGUGGAGACAACGUGCAGAAGAAACAAGCAGAGAAGAAUGCAGCUUGCAUAGUCAACUCAGCAGAAGGAGUCUGAGAUGAGGAACUCGAGAAGAUGCCACAUCUGCCUGAGGAACAGAUAAAGGAAAUGAAAAUGAUACCUUGAAGCAUGUGGAGACAAGUGCAACAAAGCACAUGCUGAUUCAUCCGCUACUUCUUCAAAAUCAAAAAUAUCUCAUAUCAUCAAGUUUGCAAUCACUCUGGGUGGAUGACUCGUUUUGACCCUCAAAUUCUUGGGUCGACUUGUUAAGCGUUGUGGGCUGCAUGUGCCGUUUCACCACCCUUGAAUCAAAUCCUUAAAGAUCAAGUCACCAACUGGAAGAAGAGCCCAUCAAUCUUGAAAAUCAUACCGUUGACCAAACUGCUCAGGUGUGAAUUAGAAAGAUUGAACAAAGCAAUAAGUCGUCACUUUCACCUCGUGCCUGCUUGUCAUGUGUUCGAGUCAACCUUCAAGAAUCAAGCCUUAACGGCCUUUGAAGAAGCUUCCAACCAAAUUCAAGAUCAAGCCUCGACGACCCUUGAGGAAAUCACAAGUCCGAUUCAAGAUCAAGUGUCUAGCCCCCUUGAAUCAAAACCAGUUCAAGAAUAAGCUGUGGAAAGUCAACAAUUGGAGGAAUCCAGAAAAUCCUCCAACCCAGUUCAAGAUCAAAGUUGUGGAAAGUCAACAAGCGCAACAAAAUACAUGCCGAUUCAUCCACUACCAAAGCCAAAGAUCAUCUACCACAUGAAACUCCUUGUGGUCCAAUUUCAACCUUCAAGAUCAAGCCUCGACGGCCCUUGAAGAAAUUUCAAACAAAAGUUCAAGGACAAGCCUCAACAGCCCUUGAAGAAAUCUCAAGCCCAAUUCAAGAUCAAGCCUCGACGGCCCUUGAAGAAAUCUCCAACCCAAUUCAAGAUCAAGCCUCAACUAGGGCUGGGCACGGGCCGGGCCGGGCCCAAAUUUAAAGGAACCGAACCUACCCGUUUUAAAAUAUAACAGGUCUGGCCGGGCCAGGUAAAGGGUUUUUAAGUUUGGGAACCGGACCUAACCCGGCCCGUUUGAAACGGGCCGGUUCGGGACGAGUCAACGGGUCCAAUUACUUUUUUUUUGGCUUUUUUGUUAGGUCCGAGACAGUGGGCUGCUUUUUUUUAUUACCAACAACACCCCAUUUACAUUGCCCACAUACAAUACAAACAGAUGAGAGCAAUAUAGAUUCUCUCGUGCGACCCCAGAUGUGAAUAUACACACUUUCAAUAUUUAAUCACUAUAAAAUUAUGGUAUCAGACAACUAUCAUCAAUAAAUUUUCACUAAUUCAGCUACCAAAAAUUAAAAAACGAAUUAAACACUAAUGAGACUAAUUAAUAACUAAUAAUUAAUCGCAAACCACUCGGUGAGAAUGAAUCAACAAUUCCCAACCUUCUCGUUUUCCAGAAAACCAACUCCGGGUCGAGCUUCUCCGCCGCCGUUCUCGCUGGCUCCAAUUUACACCUCGUCAGUAUCAACGGCCGAGCUAACCCUCCCAAGUCUCCGUCUUUAUCUUCUAUGCUCACCGAUUUUGCCAUUCUUUCUCGAAUUUCGCCCUCUAAUUCCCUGAAAAAUUCUAACUUUUCUUCGCUCUCCGACUCCAAUAUCGCUUCCUCAUCCGAAAUCCAGAAAAUUUAGAUAUGAUAUCCCUAAAUUCAGUAACCCAGAAAUUUCAAAAAUCCUAAUUCAAAAGUCCUAAAUCCCUGAACUCAAAAACAAAAUAAUUCAAAAACCCUAAUUUAGAAAUUACCUUAAUUUGAGAGAAGAUUGUAUGAUAUUUCGAAUUGCAGGAUGAUGGAGGUGUUUUCAACAGUGGUGAUGGGUGGUCAUGUUUGGGAGGAGACGAUGGCGAUGGUGGUGUUCACAGGAGGACUCGACUCGAGUGGGAAAGGGGACUGAGAAUCGAGAGGGAUAAGAGUCAGUCUGGACUCUGGAAGAGAGAUCGAGAUGGAGGACUCUGGGAGAGAGAUCGAGAGGGAGGACUCUAGGAGAGAGAGAUCGAGAGGGAAUACUAUGGGAGAGAGAUGGAGAUGGAGAACGUCUGGGAAAGUCUUCGAGAAAGAUGAGAAGUGUGUGAGAUUUGAGUAUGUGUGCGAUUUGAGUGUGUGAGGUUUAUUGGAUACGGUUCGGGCCGGGGGCCCGUGACUUCAGAAAAUUGGAACCGGCCCGCCCCUCAGUUUACUUCCACCCUACCCGCCCCGCCCCGUUUUGUAUAUAAAAUAAUAUGUACCCGCCCCGAACCGCUAAUACCCGCCCCUACCCGCGGGCCCAGGGCCCGUUUGCCCACCCCUAGCCUCAACGGCCCUUGAAGAAAUUUCCAGCCCAAUUCAAGAUCAAGCCUCAACGGCCCUUGGAUUGACAUCUACAGUAAGGGACUUCAAAACGCAUCUCCUACACGCGACAAGCACAUGUAUACAACGCGUAUUGAAGUGGGGGCAUUUGUAGACAUCGAAAUUUCGGUAAAUAAAUGUUAACCGAUAAAUCAAAGUUUCAACGCUCAUGUAUUACAUAAAUUUUACACGUAUCGUGUGUCUAAAAAAAAUCAAAAUAAGUUGGAAAAGUCAUCAAACAGGACACGUGUCAACACCUGGCAGAAACAACUUAUUUCAUCUGGAAUAUUAUAUUCAAAAUUAGGCCUUGGAAAUUUCUAUAAAUAGAAGGCUAAUUCAUUCAUUUAGAGGGACCAAAAUCAUUAGGCAAAAUUCUUGAAGUUCUGAAGCUCUGAAACUCCGAAGCUCUCAAGCAUCCAGGUUCCCGAAGAAUCAAGAAAGCUCUCUUCGUUCUUCGUUCUUCGUUCAUCGUUCUUCCAAGAUCAAGCCCCAACGGCCCUUUAGAUCAACAAUCGUCCACCAAUUCAAGAUCAAGCCCCGACGGCCCUCGAAGAAAGUGUUCUUCGUUCUUCGUUCAUCGUUCUUCCAAGAUCAAGCCCCAACGGCCCUUUACACCAACAAUCAUCCACCAAUUCAAGAUCAAGCCUCAACGGCCCUUGAAGAAACACUCAUCCUCAAGAUCAAGCCCCAACGGCUCCUUGAAGAUUCGCUCAAAUCCACCUUCAAAGAUCAAGCCCACGGCCCUUGAAGAAACUUCCAACAGUUCAUCCAAAAUCAAGCCUUGACGGCCCUUGGAUCAACAAAACAUCCAUAAAUCAACACCUUACGGAGAUCGAAUCAGAUGAUCAAAAUAGAGAGAGAUUGUAACCCAAAAUCAUCAAAUACAAAUAUUAUUUUGUGCACGUUGUUCUUGUCUAUUUCGUUUCAGGAAAAUUUCGUGUUCACAAGGAAAAGCAAGGAAUUCCCUCGACCCGUUUUACUUAUUCUCGACCCGAUGCAAACAAGGGCUUCUGAUGCCUUUCCCGGCCAAAAUCUGGCGAAUUACACCAAUUAAACACCUAAGAAAUACCCCAAAACCUUCCCUCUUCUAUUUUCAUAAAAAAAAAAAUUGAUAUCAAUUUGGUCCUAUUACGCGAGAAUUGAAGCUGAGGGCUUCGUGGGGUGCACGGCGGCGAUUCGUCGUUUCUGAAAGGUAUUCCAGUGACUACCACCACUAAAACUUUUCACUUGGACCCAAGAGCAAACCCCAAACAAGUAUAGGCGCAGUGGAGUUGAGAAUUUGACGAAUCAAAGCACACUAUUUCAAGGGUUUCCGGCAUAUCGAGGUGGUUUUCAGGCGUUUCCCGGUCGAAUUGGACUUCGGACCAAGUAUGAAAAAUGUUCCUUUCCUUGAGUUAUACAUUUUUGCAAAAUUUCGUGAAUUUUAGAGUUGGUGGGAAUUUGGGGUUUCCAUUCGUCGGAAACCGCCACCCGCAGAGGCGCAUCGCCAGUGGGCCGACACUGCCUUUUUUUGUUAAAUUCAAUGUUCUGAUUUCAAAUUUGAUAACCAUUGAUAUAGUUUGAUAGUUUGAACUUAGUAUGGAAUAUUACGCCACUUAACCCUUUUAUGAUUCGAUGAUUCGACCGUUGGAUCUUCUCCAAACUCUAAUGCAUUAUAGUACGUAAUAUUUGAGAACCUUAGGAACUUAUGGAUCGGGAAUCUGAUGUACGGAUCUUCGAUAAUUGAAUUUCUAAUUUGUAAGAUCAAAUGUCGACCGCCAAGUAAUUUUAACGAUUGGUGGAGAUCCGACCGUUGGAUCAUUCCAAAAUUUAGAAUACUGUUCUAGAUGAUUAAUGAGACUCUUGGGAAAUUACAAAUCAGAAAUAUGAUAGGCGGAUCUUCCGAAUUAGAUUACUAGGGUUGUGGACCCCACUGUUGACUAAGAGUUGACUUUUGGUCAACAUUUUUAGAAUCAUUUUCUUUAAAUACUAAAUUUGUACUAUUAGAGACUAAAUGAAAUCUGGUAGGCCUACGUUCGUUGGUGAGUGACUAUAAUAUGGGUGAUUUCUAUUGAAUUGUUAUUUUACUUUAGCCAUCGAUCUAUGUUUAUUAAUUAUGAUUUGACUGUAGCUUUGAAAUUUUUAUGAUAUGUUGUUUGAAUUGUAUGAUUGGUAUGAUGUGUAUGAAUGUUUUUAUGACGAUGUGAACCUAGAAUCUUAUUAGGAGUAUUAUGUAGAACUUUUAUGCUUAUAUGACAAGAUAGUUAGUGGUCACGAGAAGCUGAUAGUGCUAAUGCCUACGUGUGUUGAACUGAUUGCACCAAGUAGUAAUGGUAAUUGGAGGGUCCUGCUUGGUCUAUCCACGAUGGAGGACCAUACAUAUUUCAGGGGCGAUCAGGCUUAGUUUAUCCGCAAUUGGUGAUCACUGCCUGCAUGAUUGGACUAUGCUUAUGGUCCUGCUUGGGUUAUCCUCAAUAGAUGGACCAUACGCAUUCUAGGGGUGGUCAUUCUCGGUAUAUCCACAAUAGGUGAUCACUACCUAGAGUUAGGACGUGGUUCUACUUGGUAUAUCCGCGAUAGGGAACCACACGAUAGACUAUGUCUAUGGUUAUGCUUGGUUUAUCCUUAAUGGGGGACCAUAUGCAUUCUAGGGGUGAUCAUGUUUGGUAUAUCCAUGAUAGGUGAUCACUACCUAGAGAUAUGACAUGGUCCUACUUGUUAUAUCCGCAAUAGGGGCCUACGCGUUAGACUAUGCCUAUGGUUCUGCUUGGUUUAUCCGUAAUGGGGGACCAUACGCAUUCUAGGGGUGAUCAUACUUGGUAUAUCCGCGAUAGGUGGUCACUACCUAGAGUUAUAGGAUAUAGUCCUGCUUUGUAUAUCCGCGAUGGAGGACUGUGAGAAGUGAUCAUGCUUGGUACAUCCGCGAUAGGUGAUCACUGCAUGCACGUUUAGAUUAUACCUAUGGUUAUGCUUGGUUUAUCCACAAUGGGGGACCAUAUGCAUACUAGGGGUGAUGAUGAUUAGUUGUACUUGGUACAUUUCGAUAGGCGACCGUAUUUGAGUUAGAUUCCGUUGAAAGGUCUGGAAUCCCUACUCUGGCUUAUUUCCAUAAGGUUAGUCCGGCCCUAGAUUCGAGUAAUAGUAAUGGCUCAGUGUUGACUUUGUGUUUAUAAAUUAGUUUUAUCAUGUUAUGACAUGGAAUCCAUGUAGGAAAUUAUGCAGAAUUUCUUUUAUUAAAUUUCUGGAAAUUGUAUGUGAUCUUAUUGAUUGAUUAACGUAAUUAAAUGUUAGCAUCGUGCCUCCUUGAUUCAUGGAAUUGGUUAAUUGAAGUGAUAGUGGAAUGAUGUUGGAUAUAAUUGUUGUUAAUAUGAUUAGAUUAGUUAAUGAAUGUGACUAGAGGAUAAUAUUAUGCUUUGUUGAUCAUUUGAUAUGUUACAUGCUUUGUGAUUGCAAUAUUAGGAUAGUGAUUUUAUGAUGGAUGGAAUAGAAAUCUUGAAUGUCAUGUGGGUUCAUUAUGUAGCUUGAAUCAAUUAAUUCAUGCUUGUCAAGUCUGAAUAAUUGAUUGAGGAAUGAUACGCUUUCCUAUUAAAACGUAAUGGGAUAAGUGUCGGAGUUUAGUGUAUGAUGGUGAACUACAAUGGCUUGAUCCCUAUUUAGGGUACGUAGAUAGUCUAACAACAAGAUUAGAUGCAGCCAUAAAGUGUACGAAAAAAUUACUAUGCAAUUGGAUCGUGAGUUGUGCUUUGCACAUAUCCUAGAGGUAGGGUAUGUUAUAUAUACGGGUACUUGGUGACAUCACGUAUUGAUCUUGGACGUAUGUCGGGAUCGGGGCGUGACAAUGGUGAUAAAGAGGAGAUUGGUGUAGGAACUGGGAAGCAAUCUGCAAGCUAUUCAUGCCUAAGGGAGGAAACAACACAUGCUGAUCUUGAAAUCCUCCCAAAACCUUUGGCCACCCAAGCUUAUGCCCCACCACAACCCAUUCCAAAAGGUUGCAAGAAUGCAAGGAAACUGACGUGUUGGAAGGGGUUGUUCAUGCAAAGUUAAAGUUUGAUACACCACAUGAUUAACUCUUUAGCAAUCUGAUAGAUUUAGAUACAGGGCAGACAGCUACCAACACAAAAAUUUUUGGUUGCUGAAUUGAACAGGCCAUCAGCCCAAUCCAUCAAAUUCAAAGAAAAUUAGGGUCAGUUCCGUGAAAGCCAAAUUCCUCGUAGAGAAAUUCUGCCAGUGUAAAGGUUGUGGGUAUUAAAUACAAAGUUCAAGUCAAUUCGAUAGAGACGUAAGCCUCGCUGGAAUGGACCCAAUUGGAUUACAAAGAUUCAUUCACAUAGAAGAGCUGAUAUGAAGAAUUCAGCCACUGAAUUUAAAUGCAUAAUUGAUAAAACCUUAACACAUUACGUACUUGCUGUCGCCUUACGAUGCUGCUAAGGAGUGGUUGAUUCUAAAAGAACAAGUGACGUGAUCAACGACAUCUUUCCAAUCCAUCUAGCUAUAGACUUUAACUAAAGCACUUGUUAUGAGGCAACCCAAUUUUUUCUAACUUUUUUCUUUUUAUUUUCGUGCUUUUAUUUCAAUUACAAAAAAAAAUAUUAAAAAUCAGAAAAUUGAAAAUAAAUAUAUAAAAAGAUUAAAAAAUAAAGCAAUUUUUAAUUCUUGUUAUUUUUACUAUCUAAUUAGGUUUCUAAUUUGUGAUUGCAGGUUGCAUUCGGAACUAAUUCGGCCUAAUCUAAACUAAAGGCAUGCAAUCAACAUUCAUUCACUUCUCUGUCUCCCAUAAACUUAAUUUACAUACCAUUCAACAAAUUUCUUUGUACAUGGUUCCACAAUCGGGGAUUCAAGUGUGCAAAAGGGUCCACAUAUGGCAGAUCAAGUUUCAUGCAUGUGUUUGCUCAGUGCUCACAGAUACAUCGGUAGAGACAUGCAAGCACACACAAGUACAAAUUCAUGAGAAUGCAGAAGUCAUAUUCAUAGAGAUAAAUCACAUAAAUGCAGCACAAAAGUUAACAAACGUAAGGACUACAUUCUAGGGGUAGGUUCAAAAAACCGAAAACUGAACCGGACCGAGGCCGAAAAAAAUCGAACCGAAAAAAAAAUCGAACCAAAACUAUCAAACCAAACCGAACCGAAUCUGGCCAAUUUAGUUUCGAUUUUUAAGGUUCAAAAACCGAACCGAUCCGAUAUAUAUAUAUUUAAUUAUUUUUUUCAAUAUUAUAAAUAGUUUAGUAUACAAUCAUAACAAAACAUAACCUGUUGCCAAGUUGGUUUCAGUGAAACUUUUCAAAAUGCAGUGCAUGGGUUCGAACCCUCAUGUCCAAGAUUUCAGAGUAGUUUUUUAAUUUUUUUUGAGAAACCAACAAAAUCCUUUUAACCUUAGCCACUGGUAGUAGCAGCCACACCUUUUUUUUUUUUUUUUCAUUCCCCUCUUCUCUCUCUCGUUCCCUGUCUCCAAUGUAACCCUAACCCAGUAACCCUUUCGCGCAGCCGAGCCUCCUCUCUCUCGCUGGGUCUUCAACUUCAAUCGAUCUGUCUCUCUCAAACUCUCAGGCGACCCUUCUCACUCUCAAUCUCUCACACCUCGCCCUCUCGUCGUCAGUCUCUCAUCUCGCCGUCAGCUUUUUCUUGCCCUUUCGAGUCUUGACAGCAAAGGGUUAGCCUCCUCUCUUUCUCUCUCUCGGUCUUCAACUUCAAUCACUCUCUGUCUCUCUCAGUCUUGAAUCCCAGGCAACCCAUGACGGCGCGACCCUUCUCACUCUCAAUCUCUCACACCUCGCUCUCACCGUCUGUCUCUCAUCUCGCCGUGAGGUUCUUCUUGUAGUUUCGAGUCUCGACUGCAAAAGGUUAGUCUCAUACUCUCAUUUCUCUAUGUUUAAUUUUCUGUUCUAUUUAUCUAUUGAAAUUGGUUCUGAUUAAAGAGGUAUUCAUUUCAUACUUUUGCAUUUUCUAUUAAUCUGCCGAUUUUCUAGAUUUAUUAAUGUUAUGAAGUGACUGAGAUCCAUGAAUGUGUGCUCAUUUUCAAUGUGAUUGUUUCUGGGAUUUCAAUUCCUCCCCACAGAAGAAGAGCUGGUCCACUAUUACUUGCAGAUGAAGCUUGAGGGAAUGGAUUACAUUGUUAGCGACGUCAUCAAUGAAAUCAAUAUCUGCAACCACGAGCCAAGGGACUUGCCUGGUAAUUAUUUGCAAACCCCAGGUCUUAAAUUUUGAUUAUUUUUCUUAGUUCAACGAGUCUGAUAAUCUGUAUUUGCCAUUGGGUAUUUGGGUUUAAUCCAAAUGUAAAUUAAUUACCAAACCCAGUUCUUAAAUUUUAUGUUUUUAAAAUUUUGCUGAAAAUUUUAGUAAAAACUUUGAAUUUGCAGUUCAAUGAAUCUGACACUCCGUUUAUAUUGACUUGUGAAUUUUACAAACUUAAAGUAGAGCUCUCUUUCUUAGCAACGGUUGCAUUGUUAACCUCCCUCUUAUAUAUAUAUAUAUAUAUAUAUAUAUAUAUAUAUAUAUAUAUAUAUGUUGAUUAACCACGUAGUGAGAUAACAGUUUCAAUGUUAAUCUGCUAUGUUGCCUCCUAGGCAGCCUCAGCGUUGAGCUUGAGGAGUUGAAGAGAAGAAGUGCGUGGAAGACAUGAAAUCUUGAAGGUUUAUUUGAGUUUAUGAUUUUAGUUAAGUGGAAUAUUUCUGUAAAAUUUGGACUUUGUUAUGUUUAUUUUAGGUGUGGAAGAUUUGAAGUGUAAUGUUUAUUUUAAAUUUGGACUUUUUGAAGACUUAAACUUUGAUGUUUUUUUUAAGUUUGGACUUUGGAAGAUUUGAUUGAUGAUUCUAGUUGAACUUUUAAAUAUUUAUUUUCAUUGUGUAGGAAUGCUUAUGUUAUGAUUGUAUUGGAGAUGUUAAAAUUUUAGAUUUCAAUUUUUAAUCAUUUUCAAAAAAAAAAAAUAUCGAACUGGGUCGAAACCGAACCGGAAAAAACCAAACCGAAAAAAACCGAACCGAAAAAAAAUUGAACCGAACUGAAAUUUCAGUUCGGUUUCGAUUUUGGCAAAAAACCGAACCAUUUUGAACCGAACCCAGCCCUACUACAUUCCACAGAUCCAUGUUGAAAACAUAUUUCUAGGUUUCAAAAUUAUGCCUUUAAUUCUGACUCUGAGAAUUUUGAGACACCUGCUAGUUGGCUUCCCUUUGGAUUUGUGCAACAAUGCCAUUUCCAUCUGCGCCUUUUCUUAUGGGAUCUGCACCAAAUCCAAACCACAUGCAUGAGACUUUCAGAGUUUUUUUUGUAGACUAAUUAAGCAAUGAGAACAAACAUGGAGGUCGCUGAAAUUUACCUUUUGGUUGUCGACGAAUUGUGCACUGCAAGGAUUUGGGCUCAGAUUUGUUGACGAGAUUUCUCGAAGACUCGAGAAAUGAAGCCGCUGCUGUGACAUUAAAGUUAGGGGGUAAAGCCUUGGGUUGCAGGCAGAGAAGAUUAGAGAGGGAGGAGAUGAAAAGAAUGUAGCUGCUAGCCUGCUCAGGUUUGUGAAAUGAAGAUUGAAGCUGCUAAGUCAGCUUUUAUAGAUGCUGUUGCGAGGGUUUGACACACGUGUGCAGAAGGUUCCAUGAUAAUUGCUCAAAAGUGCAUGCCUAAUUCACUUUGAUUAUACCCGUUACAUGUUUUUCUCUAGUAAUUUAUCAAAUUUGUGCUUUAUCAUGUAUAACUGGUCAAAUAGGUUUUAUAUCUAAUUUGUUUUAAUUUUUUACUAAUGUUGUUGAUAGGGAUUUUACUACACACGCAAACAGACUAAAAACUUAUAUAAUACUUGCAAGAAUGACAAGGUUAUUAUAGUAUAAACGAAUCUCGCAAGGUCGUUCUCCACAAAGAUUAUUAAAUAAAUCAAAACAAACCAAAUUCCAAUUAAUUAUUGUAAAGCAAAAGGUUGAGAUAAUUGAUUUUUAUGACCUAAUUUAAUAAAACGAAUUUAAUUAAUAAAAGAAACUAAUAUGCAAUAUUAGAGAUGAAGAAAAAGAAACAGUUUUUAAAAUACCAAUUUAUAAAUGCACUAGGGUUCCACCAUCACUUAGCAAUCCUAUGCAUUUUUACCAAUUACUUAUGAUCUACACAUGCCACUUUGAAGGUUAGGUAUUCCUAAUUUAUAUUCUACUUGGAACUUCCAACAUAGAAUGUAUAACUAACAUGCAACACGUCCGGACGUUCGGAUCAAGUCUAAACAUGAAAGACUCAUUACGCUCUAUGAAAACCCCUUGAAAAACCAGGCAACCCCUAAGAUGUGGUGUUCAUCUUAAGUGAAAUUACAAUUAUUAAUCUCCAAAAACCCUAGCAAUUACUCUCUAUCUCUAAAGUUGCAUAAAAGAAAGCGUAGAGAAAUUGUCACAUUUUGGCCAGGGCGGAUCACUUCCCAGGCUCGCUCCACCACCGUAACACGAUAUUGUCCGCUUUGGGCCCUGACCACGCCCUCACAAUUUUGUUUCUGGGAACUCAUGAGGAACUUCCCAGUGGGUCACCCAUCUUGGGAGUGCUCUGACCCCCUUCUCGCUUAACUUCGAAGUUCCUACGAAACCCGAAGCCAGUGAGCUCCCAAAAAGCCUCGUACUAGGUAGGGAUGAGAAUAUACAUUUAAGGAUCACUCCCCUGGGCAAUGUGGGAUGUCACAAUCCACCCCCCCUUAGGGGCCCGACAUCCUCGUCGACACACUUCUGGCCAGGGAUUGGCUCUGAUACCAUUUGUCACAUCCCGGCCCAGGGCGGAUCACUUCCCGGGCCCGCUCCACCACCGUAGCACGAUAUUGUCCGCUUUGGGCCCUUACCACGCCCUCACGGUUUUAUUUCUGGGAACUCACGAGCAACUUCCCAGUAGGUCACCCAUCCUGGGAGUGCUCUGCCCCCUUCUCACUUAACUUCGGAGUUCCUUCGGAACCCGAAGCCAGUGAGCUCCCAAAAGGCCUCGUGCUAGGUAGGGAUGUGAAUAUACAUUUAAGGAUCACUCCCAUGGACGAUGUGGGAUGUCACAAUGAUAACGUUUUUAUAGUUAAUUCGCAUAUAUGUGAGACUUAUCCCGAGGACGAGCGCGUUUAAGGGCGACUUGAGGGCUACGACCCUUUGACAUACCAAUGAGUGGGCUUUUGGUUUUCAGUAUAUAUUUAUAUACUUGGGAUUUUCCCAGAAAAUAUGCUUAAAUGAGUUUAUGCCUUGAAUACCAUGCAUAUGAGUUUAUAAUUCGUAUAUGAAUUGGUAUAUAAUGCAUUAUAUAUAAUUAUGAUUUUGUGGACGCUCAGGUAAGCUUAGGUGAGUUAUGUUUGGUCAUGUGAAUUAUCGAUGAUGUGACAUGUGAUUGAAUAACGUUAAGCUCAUAAAACUGCACCUAGGGUGAUUGUGAUUUAGCCAGAUAUAUGGCACAGGUCUGUUUAUAAUGUCACCUCCCGCACCAUAUGCUUAUAUUGGAUCCAAUUUAGGUGCACAGUCUUGUCGUACAGACCUUCAUUAUGGUUCCAACUCGUAUGUGACUAGCGAUUUAUCGCCAAGCUAUUAUGAAAGAGUAGUGUUGAGCAUAAUUAUAUUACACCCAGUAUUGUCAUACAGACCUUUUCAUUUGGUUCUGACUCUUGUGCAGUAUAGUGACAUAUAGGUCAUUCUAGUGGCUCCGGCUAGAUUGACUUAUAAGCUAUGAAUUUAACCGUACAGACUACCACAGGGGUUCCGGCUAACAUGUUAUAUUUCUAUGAAGUUAUUCUUACCUGAAUUGCUUACUCUAUUAUAUCUUAGUAUGGCGUACAUAUGAAAAUGAUUAUGUGAAGCAAAUUGAUAUAUUUACAUAUAUAUUUAUGUAUAUGCUUAUAUUCUAAUUCUGGGAAAAAUUAUACAUGUUUUACAGUGAGGGUUAGAUAUGUUGAUAAAAGAAAUGGUCUUGUGAAACAUUUAUUUUUGCCCACUCACGUUUUCUGUUUGUGCCCCUCCAGGUUUUAGUAAGCUUGUUGUUGCUGGGUUCGAGGAUUUUGGUGGUUCUGACAUAUCAAAAUAAUUGUAGGACAUCUUAUGGUAUUGUAUAAUUAGUACUUGUCCUACUGGACUACACCUAGACUUACUAUGCUCUGAUUAGGAGGAUUUACUUUAGUAUCUUACUCCUAACACUUCCUAUUUAUUAGUGCACUCUAGUAGUUUCAGUUUUUAAUUAUUCAUAUAUUCCUUAUCUUUAUUGCUUUCGCACUGUGCACAUGGCUACGUCACCCGCACGUGAUGGCCAGCAUGCCUUGAUCUCGGUCGGGGUGUGUCAGUUUGGUAUCGAUUGUGACAUCCCUCAUCGCCUAAGGGAGUGAUCCUUAAAUGUAUAUUCACAUCCCUACCUAACACGAGACCUUUUGGGAGCUCACUGGCUUCGGGUUUCGUAGAAACUCUGAAGUUAAGCGAGAAGGAGGCCAGAGCACUCCCAUGAUGGAUGACCCACUGGGAAGUUGCUCGUGAGUUCCCAAAAACAAAACCAUGAGGGCAUGGUCAGGGCCCAAAGCGAACAAUAUCGUGCUACGGUGGUGGAACGGGCCCGAGAAAUUAUUCACCCCAGGCCGAGAUGUGACAGAAAUAUUGUGGACGGAAAAGCAAUAUAUGUUGCUAUCCAUCGCACAAACCCUAAAAACCAGGUCCUUUAUUCCAACUAGGAAACUAAGAAUAAUAAUAAAAUUCUAAUUAAGCUAGGAGAAUCUUCCAAGUACUUGUCCAGCCAUGUUUUAGCCUCAAAUAUCUUCCAAAUUCGGCCGAUGAUAGCUUGUUUUGAAGAUCAAGACGUUCUGAACAUAUCUCCAGAAGGCCAUGAACUCAUCUGAGGUCAUCUUGGGCUCCAAAAACGCAAUUCAAGCCCAAAACGUCAAUAUUCCAGCACUGCACAUCGCUUUUUUAUUUUAUCUCCAGAAAAUAACCAUCUGGUGGAAAAAUCUGAUAUUUUGACACGAUCAAGCUAAUUGACUCAUGAACGUCCUCCAACUAGAAUUAUUCCAAAAUUCAUCCAUUUGAUUAUGUUUUGCUCAGAGGAAAUCGAAAUUCCUAUAUUGAAAAUACAAUUCAAAGUAUCAAAAGAAAUGAAGAAAGGAGAAGGCAAAGAAGAAGAAAAAGAAACGGCAAGCCAUUACCAUUUCAACAUGGCAUUAACAUAAUAAUAAUAAUGGGUUUAUCAAUGACCAUUAUUCAAAAAGAAUAUGAAGGGAGGUUGGUUGGGAUAGCAACUCAUAUAAUCUCUCCAUUUGAUUUUUUCCAAGGGGCCCGGCUUUUUCAUAAUUUUAGACUUUUCCUUUUCUAUUUAGUUUAUGGAGAACUAAUCUCUCUAGCUAAAGCUAGGGGGGAACCUAUAUUACAAGUAUGUAGUUUUAUUAUUUCGAUUCUAUUUCGGAGUUUUAAUGUGAAUUUUACAUUGUGGAUUUUCAAUGGAAUUUCUUAUUUAUUCUAUUUUCGGAUUGAUGAAUGUUGGCUAUGGUUCAUAAGUUUAAUCAUGUUUUUCUUAUAGUUUUGUUUCACAUUCAUGCUGACACACCCCGAUCCUAGAAUCAAGGCGUGCUGGCCGUCACGUGAGUGUGACGUAGCCAAAAGUGCGACACGGAAGCAAGAUAUAACCUAAAUAUGAAGGAAAUUAAACCAACCACUAGCAGAAAUAACCUACUAAUAUAAAAGGAUGAGAGUUAUAAAGUAAAACACACAAGUUCAGAGCGUAGGUCAAAGUGCAGUCAAGUAGGACUAUAAUUAAAAAUACAACACCCACAGGUGAGUCCUACAUGUAAUACGUCUGUCAGAAUGCCGAAAAAGACCUCGAGAGCCACCAACUGCUAAUUAGAACCUGGAGGGGCGCAAAACAAAGGUGAGUGGGUCAGUAAAACCAAAGAUUUUCAAAAAAACGUUUCAUUUAAAACAUUUCUAACCCCUCACCGUAAAACCUGUAUACUUUCCCAGAAAACAGUAUAUAAACAUAUAUAUACAUAUAUCAUCAAAACUCAUCUCACCAUCUAUCAACAUAACAUCUCAGAAAGAAUAUGUCAUGCCAUGCCCAAAAUAGAAUAAGAAUGCAUCAAUAUAAAUCAAGUGAAAUAAUAAAUUAACCGGAGACCCUACAGUGGUCCUGUACGGUUGAUUCUAUAGCUCAACAUCCCACUCAGCCGGAGUCGCCACGGUGACCUAUACGGCCUAACUCUGCACAUCACUCGGAACUACAUAUGGUAGUCUGUACGAUGAAAGGUGUAUAAAUACGCUCUAGUGCUUCUCUCAUCAAUCAUCGGCGCGCAUAACUAAGGUCACCCACUAGUCGGAAUCACAUCUAGUGAUCUAUACGACUAGCAUGUCAGAACCCUCAUAUGGUCCGUACGACAUCCACCUACUUGGAUCCAAGACGAGCGUGCGGUGUGGUGAAUAACAAUAUAAGCACUAACACCUAGGGUGCAGGUUAUGAGCUUCAAUGCAAUUCUCAUAAAUAAAUCAUCUGAAUAAGGUAAAAACUCACAUGUGCGUCCAUCGAGUCAUUUCACAUAUAUAUGCAUCAAUUCUUAAUUCAAAUAUCUCAACAAUUGCAUGCAUGACAAUUUAAAUCAUAUUUUCAUAUAAACGCAUUUUCUGGGAAAAACAGUAGUAUAUAGGUAAUACGAAAACAAAACUGCCCACUCACUGGUAAGUCGAUGGGUCGUAACCCCCGUGACGUCCCUGGAUGCGCUCGUCCUCGGGAUAGGUGUCACCUAUAUGCGAAACAACUAUAAAAACGUUAAUUUAAACACAUAGCCAACAAUUCGAAAUAACUUCUCAUACGAUACUCAAUUUGGGUAUAGGAAUAUACCACAUCGACCUACUCGACGUCACGGACGUCGGGAAAUUUUUAGAAAAACUUUUGGAGGCCGCACACGCCCCCACGCGCAUCAUCCCUAACCCUGGGCUCGCCGGACUGAACUUUUCGGCGGCUGGUUUUCGGCCAAACUUGUAACUCCUUGUUCUCCUUCGUUUCUCAACCAUUUUCUUCGAAUUUUAUAUCAAUUUGAAGCCCUCAACAUGUAGAAUCACGAUGGACUAGUUUUAGGGUCUAAAAUUCACUAUAUUUUACCUGGAGAAGCACGAUAGUUCGGGAAACUUUGAGGACUUCGUUCUCGGUCCUCCGACGUCCAAAUAUCACCAACGAAGUACUCCGAGGCUCGUGAGGAUGUCCUUAAGCUCACUGUGAGCUUGAAAUUUCCUGAAACGUAAGAUUUUACGUGUGCAUGAACAGUGCACAUUUUCGGGGUUAGGGUUUCACGACGAUUCCGAGGGUUUCACUUCCUAAAACUAGUACCAAUCAACUUAGAACAUCAAGAGGGUGAAGAAUCAUACCUUAUUUGCUUCGAUCCAUGAAGUUUUGGAGGGUUUUGGUUGACGUCCGUACGUUUAUGGGUGAGAGAGAGUGAGAGAGGGUCGUGAGGGAGGAGAGAGAGGGAAGGUACGGGAAAGGGAGAGAGAGCAAGGAGUGUAGGUGGUCCACUCUAAUCCACACCAUCCAUUUAAUCCCUAACCACACAAUAAUCCAAUAUAAAAUUUUUAUAUCCAACUUAAACAAUUUUUCCAAAAACUUAGGAACCAUGAAAAAUUCAAAACAUAUCACACACAUACCUUAGUAACGUCAAGGGUAGUAUCGUCAUUUCACGCUCCCGAUAUAUAAAUCCCGGGACGGGCUGUGACACAUGCUUUUAGUGAAUUGAAUAAAUUAGUAAAUUGGUACGAUUUCGACGGAGUAAUUUCUUAAUAUUUUGUUGCCAUAGGUACAAAUUAUAUUUGGGAUUACUUCUAUAAGAAAUUGAAUGGGCGUUUUGUUUUGAAUAUCUACAAUGAAAAUCAGUUUUCAAGAAGCUUUAUAUGAGGAAAACUUAAUUGCUAUAUUUUCCAGUUGAGAUCACUUGUUGUUGGUAUCUUAGUUGAGUUAUAAAAAGAAAUCGAAAUAGUGAAAUUGCAUAGUUGUAUGCGGGUGGAACCCUGAUGCUUUAGUGUUUUUAAUUGUUGAACUUUUCUUCUAUAAGUUACAUCUCAUUCGAUAUUAUUCUUUGUUUCAGUCUUGAUAAUUCUGCAUUCUUUUUCAACGCUCUUUGAGGAAUACGACACUCGAACUUCGAGUGUAUACUGCUACUCGACACCUACACUUGGGUUUAGCAAGCAAUCCACAUAUAGCAGAUCAAGUUUCAUGCACGUGUUUGCUCACAUAUACAUCAGUAGAGACAUGCAAGUACACACAAGUAUAGAUUCAUGAGCAUGCAGAAGUCAAAUUCAUAAAGAUAAAUCACAGAGAUGCAGCACAGAAUUUCACAGAUAUUCAUUAGCAUGAAUGCACGUAUUCCUUAGUCUUUUCUCAUUUAUUUUGUUUUUCUGUUAACUCUUUUUUCUUUUAGUUAUUUUCUCUUUAAUUUUCUUUUCAUGUUUUUACAUAGUUUAGUUUAAUUUAUUUUAGUUCAGGUUGUUUUUAUCGACUAUAUUAUUUUUGUCUCUUUCUUUAUUUUUAUUUAUUUUUCACACUUUGAGGACAAAGUGUGAUUUAAGUUUGGGGGUGGGAAAGUAUAAAUUUUAGGUUUUUAAUUUUUGAGUUAGUAAAUCUAUAUAUUAUUUUAAACGUUAGAACAAGUGGACAUGGUGAAUGUUAAUCCCACAAUAAAGUCUUUUCUAUUUAUUGUUGCUUAGACACUAAUUCAUGAGUUAUACUUUGAAAAUUUGCACAUGCACACCAACAUGGUUUGUGGGGAGUGAGAUUGAAACACUUACUUUUCGUUUGAGUUAAUUUUAAUUUUUGUUCUAAAUAAGUAAAGUUUUAGCUUUUGUUAUAAAUAAUUGUUAUGAAUAAAGUAAUAAUUGUUCUAAUGAGACUUUGCUUAGUAACCGGGCCAGUCCUGCCUGAUCAACAUUGAUUCUCACGUCAAAAGGUUGAGUCUUGGCAUGGGGCAGAAUGGUUAGUUGAUUUCGUAGCAUUUUCAGGUUGAGUUAGUAAGUCGUUAGGAGUGUUCUAACCUAGUGCCCUCAAGCCUUUUGGUUGGGGAGUCAUUGACCUAAAACUCAUUACAUGAGUUGAAUCAAAAGCUUAAUGAAACUAGCAUUGCACGACCAUCACUAUUGCUAGCAAAAAGGAGAAAAAAAAUGAUAAACAAAAAAUUGAGAAAAGUCGAAAAGAAAAAAGGAAAAAAAUGUGUGUUUGAAGUUUGAAUAUGUUUGAAUAAAAACGACGAGAGGUAGGGAUUUUAGUCGAGUUUCCUUAAUUUUGUUGGUUCACUUUACAAUAAAGGAAGUGCAUGAAUUCUUUUCUAAUUGGUUAUAAAUAGCUUGGAUCUUGUGGUGGGAUUAGUUGGAACUUUUGGAAAGAUAUUCAAAUUUUCGUUUUCUAUGACUGGCAACUUGAAGGUGAAAUUUGUCUUAGCUAGUUUUGAUUAAGUUUUUAGUUUGUUAGCUUUUGUUUUUGUUUUCUAGUUUUGUUUUGCUUGAGGACAAGUAAAAGGCUAAGUUGGGGGUAUUUUGAUGAGUAAAUUUUAUACUAUAUAUUUUACCCUAUUCUUAGUUAUAAUUUAUUGGUUAUUUUGUAAGAAUUUUGAUACUUUGAAUUGUAACAGCCAAGCAGGCUCCUAUGGUGAAGAAAUUCUUAGGUCCGGGCACUCGCACCACACAAGGCAUGCGGCACUUCUCACGAGUCAAAAAUACAACGGGAUCCACAGAAUACUGUCUCUGCGAAGUUGGUGCCACUCGGUUGCCUGAUGCCAUAUGCAGCCUCCGCACAGAACAAUGGCUCUGACAUAACAAAUUGAAAUACUCUUGUCCUACCAAAACCUACCUACAUAUAUACAAUACACCUUACCACACACGCAACAAGAUAAUAACGAAGCCAAGCAUUUGCAUGUUUCUGUAAUUUUUCAUUAGCAAAAUGAAGAACGGAAGACGAGAACUUGUGAACAACACAACUGCUUGAUCAAUAAACCACAAAAAAAAAAAGGAAAAUAUAACAAAUUCCACAAUUCUACUUCUUGAUACAUCUGCUAGAACAAACACACAAGUCUAAGAUCCGAAAAAAGAUUGUAUUAAGAACGGAAAAUCCUCCAUAUUGCAACAACUGAUAAAAAAAAAAUGUUCCGACCAGCAUGUGUAACCGACUGCAUGUACAUAAUUAUGCAUCAUACCAGCUGGAGAGGCGUUCAACCAUCAUCUAUCAUGACCAAAAGAUUUACUUGCAUUUUGAUUAAGGAUCGAUUUUAAAAAUAUUUUCACCAAAACCGCUUUCAGCCAUUUUAAAAAACAUUUCAAAACGAGCUCAUAAAGUUUUAUUUACUAAUGAGUUUUAAACAAUCUAAUAAUCAAAUUAAUACAUCAUUUUUGGCACAAGGAACAGACAUCCGUUACUCACUUGAAUGGAUAAUUAUGCGUGCAAGUAUCCAAGUGCACACGCAAUAAACGUGUCCAUUAAUAUGAUUGGUCCUUAAUUCAAGGGAUCUCUCUUAGCUGUAAAGUAGUUUUAGGUGUGUGUUAUGGGAGGUCAAAAGGUUAUGUCUUCUACCUUGCCUAUAUAGUGUAACUUUGUCUCUUGUGCAUCUUACAAUUUAUAAUAUACAAAAAACCUUCAAAUUACAAUAUGGUAUCAGAGCAGUAGCCCUAACGGGCCUAUCUCUGUAUAUCCUUGUGUGUUAAACUCUUUCUCAACCUUCUACAAUGGCUGAAGAGAGCUCAGUUAAUCUUGAGGCAGAAAUCUCCCAUGCUUCUCCGUCUUCCAUCUUGUCUGACGUUGAUGUAAACCCAAACCAACAUCUGAGUUCAAUGUUAUUAAAUGAAUUUAAUUAUCUUCCAUGGGAAAGAGCUGUGCACUUGCUCUGGGAGGACGAUCGAAACUUGGCUAUAUCAAGGGAGCCAUUCCUAUUCCCGAAGUUGAGUCACCAACGUAUGACGCAUGGCUCUGCAAAGAUCAGCUUGUUAUGUCAUGGUUGCUCAACUCUAUGGAACGAAAGAUUGUUGAGAUCUUCAGCUAUGCUGAAUCUUCCAUGCAUCUUUGGAAAAAUCUUAAAGAGAUGUAAGGAAACCAGAAUAAUACUGCUCGAGUUUUUCAACUCAAGAAAGACAUUGCUGGGUUGCAGCAGGAAGGGAAAUCAUUUGUACAACACCUUGGAAUGCUGACAACGAUGUGGAAUGAACUCAAUGUCUAUCGCCUUCACACCACCGACGUUGAAGUACUGUUGAAACAAGCCGAGGAAGACAAAAUAUUCUAACUACUGGCAAGCUUAAGUUCAGACUUUGAGGAUCUUCAAAGUCACAUUCUCAUGAACGUUGACCUUCCUUCUUUUUCAAGCAUUUGUGCAACUAUUCAAAGGGAGGAAGUUCGUAGAAAGGUGAUGAACAUGGAGGUGAAAACUAACCUACCUGAAACUAGGGCUUAUGCUUCCAAUUAUAAGUCUAUUGAGGAAAGAAGUUACAAAGGAAAGCGAGGGGAUUUGAAAUGUAGCUACUGUAAUAAUGGUGGUCACUCAAGGGAUAGGUGUUGGAUUCUUCAUCCAGAAUUAAAGCCUAAAUUCUUGAGAGAUCACAAGGCUCCCUCAAAUGCUACGUAUGGCUCACCUCACAAAGUUAAUCUCGCAGCCUCUGAUCUCACAACUUAUGUCACCCCGGAUGAGAUGUCCAAAUUCACUACCAAUCCGUAACUCUAAUCAAUGAGUUUGCAGCCUUCCUUCAUAAGAAACAAGGGAUCAGAGAUGGUGAAUAAGGUUCCUCAAAUCAGACAGCUCUACUUAGGCAUUUUGCUGGGUUUCUAGCUAAAAAUAAGAACAUUGCUUCCAAAGAUAUCACAGGUAUUCUGAAAUCUUUUUCAACUGCUCUCUCAGUUAGUAGUGCACAUGAUUAUUGGAUUGUAGAUUCAGGUGCUUCUGAUCACAUGACGAAUAAGGUUACAAACCUACAUAAUUUUGAAACAAUAUAUGCACCCUCUCAUGUGUCUGUUGCCAUUGGCAAAGGGGCUUCAGUUCUUGGAAAAGGGAAAAUAAACUUGAUAUCCAACAAUGUUGAGUCAAAUGUUCUCUAUGUUCCGUCAUUUCCUUUCUAACGUUUAUCUGUUGGACAACUCACAAACUCACUCAAAUGUCUUGCCAUUUUUUCUCCCUGCAUUGUCGUGUUUCAGGAUUUAGUCACCAAGAAGAAGAUUGGUGAAGGUUUUUAUUUAAAUGGUCUCUAUUAUGUGUCCAGGAAAUCCAAGUACCGAAAGCUUUUCAAGUCAGUACAAGCCAAGCUCAAGAACAAACUUUGUGGCACCAACGAUUAGCACACCCCUCUUAGAAUGUCUUGACCUCAUUGUUUCCAAGCCUAUGCAAAAAUGUAAACCAAUGUGAUGUUUGUCACUUAUCUAAGUUUGCUAGGUUACCAUUUUCUUCUUCAAUGUCUAGGGCUAGUAAUCCUUUUGAAAUCGUGCAUUCUAAUAUUUGGGGGCUAGUUUUAGAGUCCUUUGAUGGAUACAAAUAUUUUGUAACCUUUGUUGAUGAUUUCACAAGGAUCACUUGGUUGUACCUUUCGAAAUUUAAGAGUGCAGUUAUAGAUGUUUUCCAAGAUUUUCACAAACUUGUCACUACUCAAGUUUCGCCAAAAAUUCAUAUCGUAAGAUCAGAUAACAGCACUGAAUAUAUGUCCAAUAAGAUGUCACACUAUUUGAGCACAUAAGGUAUACUAAAUCAAACAAGUUGUGUUGGAACACCCCAACAAAAUGGGAUUGCUGAAAGAAAAAAUAGGGACCUUCUUGAGAAAACUAGGGCUCUCAUGUUUAACAUGAAUGUACCAAAGAAGUUUUGGUCCUAAUGAGUACUUACUGCAGCCUAUCUCAUUAAUAGGUUACAGAGUUUUAAAUUUCAAAUCUCCUCAUGAAGUUUUGAAAGGAAAAUCUCUAAAUCUAUCACACUUGAGAGUACUUGGUUUCACAUGUUUUGUUCAUGUUUAAACACCUCAUCGAGACAAGUUGGAUCCGAAGGCCAUAAAGUGUGUGUUUCUGGGUUAUUCAUCCACUCAAAAGGGUUAUAGAUGUUAUAAUCUAACAACAACAAAAAUGGUGAUCUCAAGAGAUGUAAAGUUUGAUGAAAACAUGCCCUACUUCGCUCGUCCAACUAACUAUCUAGUCAGGGGGAGCACUUGAUGGAUCUUUUUCCCAUGCCUCACUUGGGUACUAUUGAGCAUGAUGUCUUAGAACCUCUUCCAAGCCAAGUAACUCCAAUUUUUCAUGAGGAACUUGAUGAGCAGGAAACAUCUUUGGCACGUGAACAUCCGUCUAGUUCAAAUGAUAACAUCCCCUCAAUGAUGGCAUCAACUCCACAACCUGCCAGUCAAGCUUGUCGUAAUCAUCCACGACAAAGAAACCCUUCACCUAGAUUGCAUGAUUAUGUGACCUAUAAUUCCAAGUACCCGCUGACAAGCGUUCUUGAUUAUGAGAAGUUUUCGUCUAAUCAUGCUGCCUUCUUAACGGCAAUCACAAAUACACAUGAACCCUAGACCUUUGAUAAGGCAAACAUUCAUGAUGAUUGGAGAAGGGCAAUGGAAGAAGAACUUCAGGCUCUCCAUAACAAUCACACAUGGACGGUGGUCAAACUUCCUAAGGGAAAGAAUGUUGUGGGGAGUCGGUGGAUAUACAAAAAUAAGUUCAAGUCUGAUGGAACCAUUAAGAGGCAUAAAGUUCGCAUGGUUGCUCGUGGAUUCACAAACUUAUGGAGUUGAUUAUAAGGAGACUUUUUCCCCUGUGGCAAAAAUGAACACUGUCCGAGUUCUCUUAUCAUUUGCCAUCAAUUGUGCAUGGCCUCUUUUUCAAAUGGACGUUAAUAAUGCCUUCUUGCAUGAUGAUCUCGAAGAAGAAGUUUAUAUGAAACUUCCACCAUGCCACUCACAAAUAGGUGAUAAGGAUAUGGUGUGCAAAUAACAUACGUCCAUCUAUGGCCUUAAGCAAUCUCCUCGAGCGUGGUAUGCCAAACUUAGUUUGGUGCUGGAAAAUGCUGAUUUUCAACGGAGCAAUGUUGAUUCAUCUCUCUUCAUUCGAAUUGGUUUCACUGGAAAACUUGUUUUACUCAUUUACGUUGACGAUCUUAUUGUGACCGGUGACAACCUAUCUAAGAUUCACUCCCUCAAGCAGUAUCUUCGCAACAAAUUUGAUGUCAAAGAUCUUGGUACUCUCAAGUAUUUUCUGGGCAUCGAACUGGCUCGUUCUAGCAAAGGUUUGUUCCUAAACCAACGAAAGUAUGUUCUUGAUCUCCUGUAAUAAGCUGAAAUGUCAGCAUGCAAACCAGCUCACACCCUACUGGACACCAAUCUUAAACUAGACAUUCAAGGAGAGCCACUCACAAAUUUGAGCUAUUAUCAACGAAUGGUUAGCAAGCUCAUUUAUCUUACCAUUACAAGACCUGACAUCUCAUAUGUCGUGAGCCUUGUCAGUCAAUUCAUGCAUUCCCCAACUACAACUCAAUUGAAGAUUGUAUAUCGCAUUCUUCAUUAUCUCAAAGGUUCAGUUGGUAGGGGCAUCUUGAUGAAGAAGAACAACCAUACAACAAUCAUAAGCUACACUGAUGCGGAUUGGGCAGGCAACUCUAUUGAUCGCAAAUCAACCAUAAGUUUUUGCACGUUUGUUGGUGGCAAUCUUGUCACUUGGAAAAGCAAGAAACAAAGUGUUGUGGCUCGAUCAAGCGCAGAGGUGAAGUAUGGUGCCAUGGCAUCCACUGACUGUGAACUAAUUUGGCUUAAAGGUCUCCUUGGUGAUUUGGGUUUCUCUAAUACUCAACCUAUGUUUUAUGUUUUGUGAUAAUCAAGUCGCAAUGCACAUUGCAUCCAACCCUAUGUUUUACGAAUGCACAAAGCAUAUCGAAGUUGAUUGUCACUAUGUUCACACCCAGGUUCAAUCCAAUAUCAUUGAUACUCACUACACGCGAAGCCAUGAUCAGUUAGCCGAUGUUUUCACAAAAAUUCUUGCUUCUACUGGUUUUCAGCAUAUUUUGGUCAAGCUUGGAUCAAUCAACCCCUUUGAUCCAGCUUGACGGGGGUAUUGGAAGAUGAGUGUAAGUAGGUUGGCUGUUUACAUCAGCUGUCUUGUGUCCUUAAUUCAAGGGAUAUCUAACUUGUGUUCUUAAUUCAAGGGAUUACUUGUGUCCUUAAUUCAAUGGAUCUCUCUUAGCUGUAAAGUAGUUUUAGGCGUGUGUUAUGGGAGGUUAGAAGGUUAUGUCUUCUACCUUGCCUAUAUAGUGUAACCUUGUCUCUUGUGCAUCUUACAAUUUAUAAUAUACAUAAAACCUUCAAAUUACAACACAACUCGAAUGAGUUUAAGUAUUGGUCGAAAGGGGUUCGAAUUGUUCUAAAUCAUGAGAAAAAAUGGUCAAGUCUAUUUGUGUGUGAAAUACAAUGUUUUAAAGGGCAAAGGCACCAAAUGGGUAUAAAAAUCAUCAAACUCAUGAACUGACAAAAUGAAGAAAAAAAAUUGCAAAAACCUAAUUAAUCACCCCACAUAUAUGAACAAUAAUAAAGAAUAUAUAAUUGUGUUUUGCUUACGUAAUGGUGAUUUUUCUGUAGAUAGGGAGACUUUUGGCAACAAUCUCAUCCAAGCAUUGCAGAUCGCAUUAGAAAAUUAAGAAAAGAUUUCAUUGUUUUUGUUAUUGGCUUAAAGUCAGCAGGUAGUUUGUUUUACAACUAGUUUUUUUUUUUUUUGGUCAAACGAUUUGUUAGAUUAUAGAGCCAACGGGGUUCGAACCUAUGUCAUGAUGCAAGGGCAACACUCCUCUCCACGACAGCAGGUAUUGGCAGUAGUUUUUUUUUUUUUUAAACGAUUUUUUUUAAAUUUAUCAAAACCUAUUCGAACGCAAGGGGCGCAACCUCCUGAUGCCCGCCGCAACACUUCUUCUUUUAUUUGUUUUUUCAGGUUUAUUAAUAUUUGUUGUUUUUCAAUCUUAUUUUUUGUCAUUAAUAUUAGUUAAAAUCCCCAUAAGCAUCCAUGUCAUUUAAUGAAUAAAUAAGAACCCUUAGAUGUUAUAAAAUCUAAAGGCUACACAUAAGUGUAAAAAUAUUUGUAAGAUAUGUAGUCUUAAAAGGAAAAAAAAAAGGAUAACAUAACGUCUUUUUAAUAAAAGAAUCUAUUGCCAGUUAGUAUUACAGUCUAGUGAUAUUCCUCUUCAGUUGUAAGUGAGAGGUCUUAGGUUCAAUUCUUGCCAAAGGUGAAUUUGAACUACGCUAACACAUUGUGAGGUUUAGUGCUGUAGCCCACUCCCUCACCCCCUUAGGGCUAGUUUAGUAUUGUUGUGCUUUAAAAUUAAAUAAAGAAAUAAAUUGUUCUACUAUGCUGUGAGAUUAAACAGCUAAAAAAUAAAGUUGUUGAGUGUUUGAUAGUGUUCGAGUAUCUAGUAACUUUUAAAUAAACUGCUAUGAAUAUGUUAAUGACUAAAAAUAAUGAUAUUUAAUGUGAUAUAUUAAAUUGUCAAAGAGAAUGAUGUAAGGGUAAUAAUUAUAAUUUUACAAAAUAUGUGGAGGGUAUACUUGCCAUAUGAAAAUUUAUUAGAUGGACACUGAUUAGUAUGAAUCUAAAAUAUGGUACAUAUGUCAAAUUAUGGAGAAAUUCUAAGGUCCGCAAGUCCGACCAACUCACCCCUACAGACCCAGACACAAAAAUCUUCCCUUUACCUCAUCCCCUAUUUUGUCAUGUUAACCUGAACCACUUUUGAUCCAUCACUCUCUCACACCACCCCCCCCCCCCCCCCCCCCCAAAAUUCAGGUGCCGUACACAAGAACAUCUCUUAAUUGUGACCUAGUAUUUCUCGUUAGAAGAAGUUCUUAGGUCCGGACAAUCGGGCCACACAAGGCAUGUGGCACUUCUCACAAGUCACAAAUACACCGGGAUCCCCACAAUGCGGUCCCUGCGAAGUUGGUUCCACUCGGUUGUCUGAUGCCAUAAGCAGCCUCCGCACAGAACGAUGGCUCUCACAGAACAAAUUGACAUACUAUGUCCUAUCAAAACCUACUAACAUGUAUACAAUACACCUUACCAUACACGCAACAAGAUAAUAACGAAGCCGAGCACUUGCAUCUUUCCGUAAUUUUUCAUUGCCAAAAUGAAGAACGGAAGACGAGAACUUGUGAGCAACACAGCUACUUGAUCAAUAAACCACAAAAAAAAAAGGCAUUCUACUUGUUUAUACAUCUGAUAGAACAAACACAAAGGUCUAAGAUCCAAAAAAGAUCGUACAAAGAUUAAGAACGGAAAAUCCCCGAUAUUGCAACUACUGAUAGAAAAAAGUUCCGACCAGCAUGUGGAACAACAGCUCUUCGUCACAACAGAAGUUCAUAGCUUGUUCCAUCUCUUUAUUCUAUCUGACUAAUGUCCACAGUUCUGCAACCGACUGCUUGUACAUAACUAAAUAUCCUACCAUCAGGAGAGGCGUUCAACCAUCAUCUAUCAUGACCAAUACGCCUUCAACCAUCAUAUGCAUCGAUCAAAAGCCAAAAAGAUAAUUUAGUAAAUAUCUAAUGAGAAACACCACUCUAUCGUUAAGGUUCUUCUUCGAGAAGGUAUUACCACAAUGACCUGAAAAAACAUGAAAAAUAUGAAUAAGCUUUUUUCUAACUUGCUGGGUGGGUCGAAUAACUCAACCUUCACAAGGAUGAACUCCGACUAGUAUAUGCAUGUAUAUUAGAGUACAACAUGGAUAACCAUAAUACUCAAAUAUGAAAAUGAAAUGAAGUACCGAAACUCUAGUUCCUGCUUAGUUUGUUGAACAUCCUUUCUAUCGCAAUUCUCAAAGAAGUUCAAACAAGAAUGUUCUACAAGAUUCCUACGCUGGCACCCAACAAGAAGAAGCAUACACAAUUCGGCCCUUCCAUCCUUGAAGCAUCCAAUCACUAUCUUGAUCAACUACAAAAUCUUUGUGGUACCAUGCCUUCACCUUAUCCCUUAAGAAUCUUCACUAAAUCUUGGUCCAAAUUGCAACGGCUGUAAACCAGCCCUCAUGCAUCGAACCUGCCACUGCUUAUAUGUCUCAGGCCUCUCAACCCUCUCUACGCCCUCACAUGCUAUUACAUUCAUAGCUUCCCUGCCAUAGAACUCACUCUCAAACCUCAA